Molecule: long non-coding RNA, 70962 nt
Filed under: Manihot esculenta (cassava)
Lineage: Eukaryota; Viridiplantae; Streptophyta; Magnoliopsida; Malpighiales; Euphorbiaceae
Description: long non-coding RNA (MESC_LNC006254)
Source: RNAcentral
CGGUCCCGCAGCAGAGGGCACCUGAGAAUUUCUAGGCAUUCAAGUGUAGCAGGAAGGCCCUCAGCUGGGAAGGACUGCAGUUUUGGGCACAUCCCAAUUGAUAAUUUUUCAAGAGAGGUGAGCUUUUGGAUACCGCUGGAUAUGGAUUUUAGAUUCUUGAAUCCAAUAAUGUAUAGGUAGGUAAGAGAAGUGGGAAGCAGAAAGCCGUCGUUAUCUGGAAAGGAAAUAAAAUCUCCAGUUGACGCCAUGUCCAUCAGAAACAAAGUUCUAAGAGAGGCGAGUCUGUGGAGUCCCCACUCUACCAUUGGCUGUUUCAUAUUCAAGCACCACCGAAUAUCAAGGGAAGUGAGGUUUUGCAUCUGAUUGGGUAGAGACCUCAAAUUUUCGCACCAGAAAAUUUGAAAUGACACAAGCUUGGGGUUGGGCAAUCCCAUCUCUGGGAACAACUCUAAUCGAGGACAGUUCCAUAUUUGUAACUUUUGGAGACUCUGGAAGUCUUGCAUAUGAUUGGAUAGAGACCUCAAUCCUUCACAGUCAUCGAUUCUUAAAUAGAUAAGAGAAGGGAGAGGCAAUUCCUUCCCUGGAAACGACUCUAAUUGAGGACACUUCUCUAUGUGUAAUUCUGUAAGAUGAGAAAGCCCACAGGAUAGCGAGUUUAAAAAUUGUGGCGUCGAGUUGGGAAUUCGAAGAGUCUUAAGGGAAUAUGGAAACUUUCCAUUUGAAGAGCAUCUGAGGGAUUCACAUUCAGAGAUAUACAAUUUCUCUUGAUGAGACGUCUCGCCACUGUAAUUACAAGGACACACAAUUCCCUCCGGCAGAGACUCCAAAGAUUCACAGCUCAUAAUACGAAGAUGUAUCAAGUUGUGCGGCAAACCCCCUGCUGGGAAGGAGACUAAACUUGUACAUCCGUAUAUAGUCAAAUCUUGGAGAGAUUUGAGGUCUUUCAGUCCACUUGGCAACUCCUUCAGAUUUGGACACUCAUAUAUAUUCAAAACUUCAAGAUUGCAAGGCAAAAGCCCUGGCUCUCCAUCUACCAACGACACAAGCUCAUCACAUAACUUGAUUUCCAAAUACUUUAGACUAGUAAGAAUGGUGGCAUUAGUCACACUCCUGAGAAUUGCCUCUUGACAUUUUUCAAAAUGAAGUCUUGUAAGUGAUGGGAGAACUUUUGGUAAUUCAACCAAAAGCGGGCAAUCAUCGAUAACAAGAUUUUCCAGGGAAGGAAGGAAGUUGGGCAGUUCUCCAACCAACUUGGGACAAUUUCGUAUUUGGAGUUGAUGCAGCUUAGGAAAUUUUGGCACAGAAUCUUCACCCAGACCUUUAGACCAAGCCCACAGCUCCCACUCACCCAUAUUUCUAAUCUCUAGUUCUUCCAAACAAGAAAAACAUGAAUCAUCCUCAUAAAACUCAACACCCACUUCUUUCACUCCACUCAUAUCUCCUAUGCUCAACUUUUUUAAUGACUUUAAUCGUCCAAGUGGUGGCAACGAUGUCAUUUGGCGACACUUCCAUAGCUGCACCUGCACCAUGCCAGAGAAUGAAGGCUCACCCAGCCAUGAUGGGAAUUUCCUACCACCAAAUGAUGUAAUUGAUAGGCUUGAAAGACUUCGAUAUGGCUGAAUUGAGUUGAGAACUUGUUCUUCAUGACUUGGGUUUCUCAAAUCAUCGAAACGUUCAUCAGCUUCAGCCCAUUCCAAGUGCAACUCAGUGAUACCAGGCUUAUCCUUCAAAUUGACAAAACCCGCAUCUCGAAUAUCUGCUACUUCCACAUUCUCUAAACUUGUAAUAUGAAGCUGCCCUCGAAGAUCACAAAGUUUCUUUAGUUCUGUGAUCCGACCAUUGCUUUUCCCCACGAUAAAUUUGGUCAACACGCAGAGACUAGUCAAAUUACCAAUAUGUGGUGGCAUCUCUUUCAAUUUCCUUGUGCCAAUAAUGUCAAGAUGCUGCAAGUUGAGUAAAUUGCAUAUGCCUUUAGGUAACUCAAUAAGCUCAUCACAAUCACGCAACUUUAAUGUCUGUAAGUUGAAGAGUUUAUCCACUGAUUCAGGCAAUCCUUGGAUUGGAGUAUCAGAUAGGUUAAGGUAGCGUAAGUGCUUCAAGUCACCAAUAGAAUUUGGCAACUCCUUAAUCUCAUAACGAGCUAGAGAUAGUGACCUUAAGCAUUUUAAUUUUGGCACCAACUCAUGCACCACCUUACUAGUUAAGUAGCAUCUCACCAAAUAACGACGACUCCAGGAUAACAAUGUCCGCAAGUUCUUCAUUUCACAGAAGCUUUGAAAUCUUUGAAAAGUGUUCAUAAAAUGAGGAAUAAAUGAAGAAUGUCGAAUCUUUGCAAAUGAUUUUGUACUCUCCAACUUAUCAACCAUAUGUAAACAUGUUUCCCUACUAACAUAGCGAGCUAAAUCAACAAUUAGGUCAUGCAUUAUAUAUUUCGAUUUAUUAUCAUUUGAUUGUUGAAAAAACGAUCUUGAUAAUAAAUCAUCAAAAUAUUUAUGACCCAAACCUUCACUGUCUUUCAUUUUCUUCUGGUCAUACAAGAAACCCUCAGCCAUCCACAGCAAAACCAAUUCAUUCCUAUCAAACUCGCGAUCCUUUGGUAGUAUUGCGCUAUAAGAGAAACAUCGCUUCAAAUGAGGUGGAAGAUGAAGAUAGCUCACUCUCAAGGCUGGAAGGAUAUUGCUCUUGUCGUCUGGUAACUCCCAUAUCUCAUUCCUCAACACUUCCUUCCACAAAUCAGGAUUCGGUUUACCCCUUAAGAUGCCUCCAAGAGCUUUUGCUGCCAAAGGUAAUCCUCCACAUCUUUCGACAAUCUCGUCACCCAUUUGUUUCAGCUCCAAGUGCGCGUCAAAAUUAUUUGCUCCCAAAGCAUGCUGGGCAAACACAGACAUGCAUUCAUUGUGCGACAGCUUCUUAAGAGCAUAUGCUUGAGUCGUACCCAUCAUUAAUGAAACAUCCUGAAUUCGAGUCGUGACGAUAACUCUGCUUUGAGGAGCCCCUGCUUCAAAAGGACCCCAAAACAGAGUCCAUUCCUCAUAGUUCUGGGUCCAGACAUCAUCUAGGACAAGUAAAAACUUCUUCCCAGACAACUUUUGCUUCAAUUUUACCUGAAGCAGAUUCAAAUCUUUAUCAUCACCGCCAUCGCCCAGUUGACGAAGAAAUGUUUCUGUGACCCUGGAAACAUCAAAAUCUUCGCCAACAGAAACCCAGGCUUUCAAAUCAAACUCCAACGUGGGAUCAUUGUAGACUAGCUGAGCUAGGGUUGUCUUGCCAAGCCCUCCCAUCCCAACUAUGGGAAUCACAGAGACCUCCGCAUCACUUGUCUGAGCAUUCAACAAUUUCAGCAUCGCCUUCUUAUCUUCCUCCCUACCAUAAACCUUCGCUUCAUUAACCAAAGAGGUUGCAGGCGGUCUUUCUGUCACAUGGCUCACCCUCCUCGUAGUAUAUUCUGCUAAACGGAGUUCAUCUUUCUGCUUUAUGAUCUCAUCUAAUCUUGCACUAGUUUCCUCUAUUUUGGCAACCAUCUCAACAUUGAACUUAAUAGUAUUUAGAUUUAGAUUUCCCCCACGAAGCAUAACAGAGAUAAACUCGUGGACCUUAUGCUUCUUCUCCGGAUGAACAGGUUCCUCUUCCAACUUGCGUUGCUGAACCUCCGUGGCAAGUUCAUCAAUGAUAUCCUCCAGGUCGUAAGCCAAGUCUCUGAGAUCGCAUAACCAGAUCUCCACCAAUCGAUUUGCCGUCUGCUUCUCCUCCGCAUCUUCAAGCACCGCAUAAAUUCUCUUGAGAAUCUUUUCCCACUUCAUGAGUUGAGCCAAGACUUGACCUUGGCCUACGUAUUUCUUCAAGUCAAUGGAGUUCAACCUGUCGAGAAGCCCCUGAAACCAACCAGAGAGGAUAGAGCCAGCAGCAGCUACCGCAAAAUCCAUAGCAAAGAAUGAGUUGUAAGAGAAGAAAGAAGCUACGAACUCUGAAGAAAUUUGGAUGAAGAAAUUUGUAAACAACUGAAAAUGAAUUAGAUAUUGCAAUUGAAUGAAGGGUGCAGAGCUCAACAGACAUGGAGUCCCUACCAAAUUAAUGGACCACUGGUAUGCGAAUGACCUGAGAAAUUAAUUGGGUUAUGGUGGGUCCCACCACCUUAUCCUCUUGCAGAAGUUCUUGACUUUGUUUUCAAAUAAAUAAAGUAUAUUUUAUUUUAAUGUCUCAGUAUAUUAAUUAAUAUUAUGUAUAAAUGAUGUUAAGGAAGUGUUGUGGAAACAUACAUUUGCUAAUAGAUUUUUUUAAAAAACGAUGAAAAAAAUAUUUUAUUUUUUUAAAAGUAUAACUUAUUUAUUAUUUAAUUUUAAUUUAAAAAUAAAAUAUAUUAAUAAAUUUACAGAAGCUUGUAUAAAAUUUUCAAAAUAUAAUAAAUGACUUUUUAUUUUUUUAUUAAAAAAUAUUUUUUUAAUUAUAUUUAUUUUUAAUAUAAUAUCUAUACUUAAAAUUUUAGGCGUUUGAUUAUACUAUUAAAGAACAGCAGAAACUUAACAGCAGAUCUAUAAACAGUAAUGAUAUAAUUUUUAUAAUAAAUAUAAUAAAAUUUAUUAUAAUAAAAUAUUUAAAAAAUAAAAAAUUAAUAAAUAUAAAACUUAUUAUAAUUUUUUUUAGUAUUAAUUAUAAAUAAAAAAGUUAAAAUUACAUCAAAGUAAAAAUUCAGAAAAAUAAAUUUAAAAAUUUUGGAUUAAAUUAUAUUAGUUUUAAAAUUUUAAAUUAAAUUAAAAAUUAAAAAUUUAAAUUUUUUAUUAAUAUUAUUUAUUACGUAAUAUAUAAAUAUAAUAAAAUAAUUUAUAAUAUUUUAUUAUUAAGAGACACUUUCUCCAUUUAAAUUUUUAUCUUAAAUAUAAUAUUAAUAAAAUUUAUAAUUUUAAAUAAUUUUAUCAAUUUAAAAAUUUUUAAAUUAAAUUGUUAAUAGUAAAAAGUUUUAAAUUUUAAUUAAUAAAUAUUACAUUUUUUUAUUAAUAAAGUCUACACACCGUGUGGAAAUUUUCAUUGAAUUUAUUUGAGAGAGAGAAAUGUCAGCAGUUGGGAAGAUGAAUGGUUGUAAGUAAGUCAAGGUCUAUAUUCAGCUUUUGCUUUGUAAAAGGGAAACAUUUUAAAAGUUGUGCAAAACGUUGUGUCGUACAAUGAAUUAUUUGAGAGAGGGAAGCCAUGGCAUAGUAGCCCUACUACUCACUAUUCGAGAUACAUGAUACGUACUGUAUACAGGUAUAUUAAAUUUUAAAAUAAUUUAUAAUUUAAUUUCUUAAUAUUAUUAUUACUAAUAAUUCAUUUUAAAAAUUUAUUAAAAUAUUUUUAACUAUUAUUUUCAUUAACGAAAUAAUUUUCUCAUCUAUUUAUAUAAUUAAAAAUAUAAAAAAUUAAAAUACCUUUUCUUCUCUCUUCUUCAUUUUUUCCAACCCCUUCUUCUUCUUCUUCGAUUUUUCCUGUCCUCUUUAUCUUUCUCCUUGUAUUCUUCCUCUCCUUUUCCUUUACUUUUUCUUCAAUUUUAAUUUUUCUUUUUCGUUUUUCUGGAAAAGUUAUAGCUUGAAUCUAAAUUAUUUGUAAACAACUGAAAAUGAAUUAGAUAUUGCAAUUGAAUGAAGGCUGCAGAGCUCAACAGACAUGGAUCAGUGGUAUGCGAAUGACCUGAGAAAUAAGGAGAGAAAAAUGGUACAAUAAUUGGGCUAUGGUGGGUCCCAAUUAUUAUAUUUUCUUUGUCUUAUUUGUAUGAGCUUAAUAUUCAAUUAAGUUUUCUUCUUUACAUUUUUUCUCAUCCACUUGACAUAUCUAUCCAUGAUCCUAUGAGUUAAUUCUAUCGUAGACUUUAUUUGGUAAUAAUUUGAUAUUUUAUAUUAAUGCCUAUCAUUUUGUAUUUUGUAUUAAUGUUUAUGAUUGGAUUAAAUUAGUUGUUGAUAUUUUAUAUUAAUUUGAUAUUAAUAUUAAUAUUUGUAUUUUAAAAAAUAUGAAAUGUAUAUCUUUUAUUUCAUUAAUAAAGUGAAUAGAGAUAUAAGUUAUUGCAUAAUUAAUGUAAAAAGGUUUAAAAUUCUAUUUAAUUUUAUAAUGUACGUGGUGUAAAUUCCGUGAAUUUUGAUUUAUCUAUAUUUAUAAGUGUUGGAUUGAAUAGAACUGAAAAUAAUCUGAAGGAUGAAAAGAGUGAGAUUUGUUAAUAAAAUCAUAUUUGUAAAGGCAUUCAACAAGGAAAAAUGAGGAUGAGAAGAUUGCAAUGUGACAGAGUUGAGAAAUUAUAUGGAUUACAUGCAAUAUGACAUCAAAAUUACAUGCAUGAAAUAAUAAAUCAAAAUUUUAAAGAAUAAAAUUGAAAAAAAUAGCUCUAAAAAAAUCAUUAUAAAAAAAGGAGUCGCAAUAAAUUCAGUGUCAUUGGACUUCUUUUUUUUUUUAUUUUAUUUUUAAUUUAAUGAUAUAUCAUUAUGAAUUUUAAAAAAUUUUAAAUAAAUACGCUAACAAAAUGACUUUUAGUUUUCUUUGAUCGAGAGAGAAUACAUUGAAUAACGAAGGGGAGAAAUAAUUCAUGGAUAAUCAAGUCAAUCAAGCAGCCAUCUCACAUAUCUAUACAUAAUUGAUGUAAAAUAUCGAAAGAUCAGCCUAUGCAACAUGUUUUGAAGAGAUUUUAAUUUACGAUUCAUGCUAUAUCAUGCAUGCAUAAUAAUUUUUCUCUUAUUCAAAUUAUCAUAAUUUUAAUUUAAAUUCAAUUAUUACGAUACAUAUGUGUUUAUUUAAAAAAAAUAAUAGCCAUCCCUUACUCUUUAAUUAUUUUCUAAAGUUGUAUUAUUAAUAAUAAUUAUAAAAUUAAUUAUGCUUUUCUCUUAUGUUAUUAUUUAUUAAUUAAUUAACAAAAUAAAAAAUUAAUGAAAUACUUCUUUUAAUUAAAAUAAAAGAUAAAUAUUUUUUAAUUUAAAGUUUUAUUCUCAUAAGAAAAUAAAAAAUUUUCUUGUAUGAUGACUUCAUUGACUAGUGGAAGUUUUGGGAGGAAAUUAGUGUAUAGGUUAUUUUCUCUGCUAUUACAUAAAGUUUCCUUGGAGAUGAGUCAUAUUUUGUAUUUAUUCUUAUUUUUAAGUUUAUUUGUUUUAAAUAAAAUAUAAAAUACUUUAAUCAUCCUAGAAUUUUAACACUAUACUGUUAUGAGCAAUUAAAUAAAGAAAUUUGUAAACAACCGAAAGUAAUAAUAUAAAUUUUAAUUAGUUAAAAUUUAAUUUCUUUACCAAAUUAAUGAGAAUCACGUGGGAGAGAAACAUGGUACAAUAAUUGGGUUAUGCUGGGUCCCACCACCUUAUCCUCUUGCAGAAGUUCUUGACUUUAUUUUCAAAUAAAUAAAUUAUAUUUUAUUUUAAUGUCUGAAUAUAUUAUUUUUGCAUUAUUUAUUAAAUUAAUAUUAUGUAUAAAUGAUGGUAAGGAAUUGUUGCGGAAACAUAUAUUUGCUAAUAGAUUUUUUAAAAAAACGAUGAAAAAAAUAUUUUAUUUUUUUAAAAGUAUAAAUUAUUUAUUAUUUAAUUUUAAUUUAAAAAUAAAAUAUAUUAAAUAAAUUUUAUUUUUUUAUUAAAAAAAUAUUUUUUAAGUAUAUUUAUUUUUAAUAUAAUAUCUAUACUUAUAAUUUUAAGCGUUUGAUUAUACUAUUAAAGAACAGCAGAAACUUAUCAGUAGAUCUAUAAACAAUAAUGAUAUAAUUUUUAUAAUAAAUAUAAUAAAAUUUAUUAUAAUAAAAUAUUUUAAAAAUAAAAAAUUAAUAAAUAUAAGACUUAUUAUAAUUUUUUUAGUAUUAAUGAUAAAUAAAAAAGUUAAAAUUAUAAUUUUUUACAUCAAGAUAAAAAUUCAGAAAAAUAAAUUUUAAAAUUUUGGAUUAAAUUAUAUUAGUUUUAAAAUUUUAAAUUAAAUUAAAAAUUAAAAAUUUAAAUUUUUUAUUAAUAUUAUUUAUUUAUGUAAUAUAUAAAUAUAAUAAAAUAUUAAGAGACACUUUCUCCAUUUAAGUUUUUAUCUUAAAUAUAAUAUUAAUAAAAUUUAUAAUUUUAAAUAAUUUUAUCAAUUUUAAAAAUUUUAAAUUAAAUUAUUAAUAGUAAAAAGUUUUAAAUUUUAAUUAAUAUAUAUUACAUUUUUUUAUUAAUAAAGUCUACACACCUAACAUGUGUGGAAAUUUUCAUUGAAUUUAUUUGAGAGAGAAAUGUUAGCAGUUGGGAAAAUGAAUGGUUGUAAGUAAGUCAAGGUCUAUAUUCAGCUUUUGCUUUGUAAAGGGGAAUCAUUCGAAAAGUCGUACAAUGAAUUAUUUGAGAGAGAGAAGCCAUGGCAUAGUAGCUCUGCUACUCACUUUUCGAGAAACAUGAUACGUACUGUAUAUAGGUAUAUUAAAUUUUAAAUUAUUUAUAAUUUAAUUUCUUAUUAUUAUUAUUAUUAUUAAUUCAUUUUAAAAAUUUAUUAAAAUAUUUUUAACUAUUAUUUUCAUUAACGAAAUAAUUUUCUCAUCUGUUUAUACCCUUAAAAAUAUAAAAAAUUAAAUUACCUUUUCUUCUCUUCUCCUCAUUUUUCCUUCUCCACUCCUUCUUCUUGGAUUUUUCCUGUCCUCUUUCUCUUUCUCCUUCUAUUCUUCCUCUCAUUUUCCUUUACUUUUUCUUCAAUUUUUCUUUUUCUUUUUUUUUUAAAAACAAACAAUAUACUUUUUUAUCAUUAUCAUCAUCUUAAAAAAGUUACUUAUUAAUCAUCAUCUUAAAAAAAUUACUUAUUAAUAAAUAAAAAUAUAUAUUUUUACAGCAUCUUAAUAAAACAUAUAUUAAUAAAAUUUAUAAAAUAUAAAGAGAUAUCAUCUCAAAUAUACAAAUUAUUAUAUCUAAUAAAUUUUCUAAAUAAAGUAUGAGUAGUUAGAAUAAUAUUACGACGAAUUUAUCAAACAGAAAAAUCAGCUCUAGAGUCUAAUAAAAAUUUAUAACCAUUCAAAAUUAAAUCCCUCCGUAAGAUAAUUUGGUAAAAAUAUUCUUUAAGUGCGUGUUUGAACCCCUGCAUAAGAUAAUUUGAUAAAAAUACUAUCUUCUUUCUCAUCUCUCAAGUGUAAAUCAUUAAAAUAUUCCAAACAAAGAUACGAAAGAAAGUUUCUACGAGAUAAAAUUCAAAUAAGAUUUCAAGACUGACGCGAUUCCGGAAAUACAUAAUAACUAGUAAACCUCCAUUAAACAUUACAUUAAACAUUACCUUUAAAACAAGUGAAUCAAUAAAAUUUGAAAAAAAGUCAACCAUAGAAAUAGACUCAUAAUUUCAUACAAGAAUUAAGAGUUUUUGUUUCCAUUAAAAAUAAAAUUUUUAACUUGUAACUAAAAACCAAAUCCUCCAAUGUAAUAACAGUUCGAGAAUUACCGCCAUAAAUCUAUUAAAAAAGCCUGCAUAUUUUGAAAAUUGAUUACAUUGUAUGCGAUAAAUAUUCUUAUCAUAUAAAAAUUAUAAGUGAUAAAUCAAAAUAUAUCUAGAACUAAAUUUAAAAUAUAUAAUGAAAAUAAUAUUAACCAUCAUAAACAUAAAAGAAAUAAGUAUUAAUUAUGGUGAUAAAUCCACUUGUAUUUUUAAAGGAAGAAUUUAAGUUUAGAGAAAAAAUUAUUAGGAGAAACAAUAAUGAAUUCUGAAAUAAUCACAAAAUAAACAAAAACGAUUUAAUAAAUUUUAAAAUAUAAUAAGGAAAAAAAGUGUAAUAUUACGAGGAGUGAAAAAAAUAUAAUGAUGAAAAGGAGAAAUUUAAUAUUGUCUCCCAAUACUCUCCUUUUGGUACAAUUUUUCUUAAAAAAAAAAUAAUUAAAUGGAUUUCACAUGCUGUAUUAAGAGAAAAAAAAAUCUUUCAAAUUUUAAUAUAAUUAAUAGAUUAAUUUUUAUAUUUUUAAAAUUAAAUAUUUAUAUGUUUCUAUAAUUAGUUCAUUCAAAUUAGGGUUCCUCCAUUGAUUUUUAUCAUUAAAAAGCAUAUAAAUGUUUUUAUUAUCUUUUUAAAUGGAUAAAUUAUAUUUAAAUUUUUAAAUUUUAACAUAAUUAAUGAAUCUAUUUUUAGUAUUUUUAGAAUUAUAUACUCAUAUCACUUUAUAAUUAGUCCGUCCUCAUCUAUUAUAAUUUAAACUUUUUAAUUUUUUAUUUUUUUAUUUGAAACAAUACUUAAAUUUUUAUUAACUUUUAUCUAUAAUAUUUUAUUUAAUUAAUUUUUAACUUUUUUUGUUAUUUAAUUUUUAUUUAUUGAAAUAUUUUAAUAUUUUUUAAAAAAUACUUAUCAUUUCAAUUAUUUUUAAGUGGUACAAAUAUCGGCUAUAAUAUCUUAUUUAAUUAAUUAUCUAUAAUAUUUUAUUUAAUUAAUCUCUAUUAAUUAUUGUCUAUAAUAUCUUAUUUAAUUAAUUUUUAACUCUUUUUAUUAUUUAAUUUUUAUUCAUUAAAAUAUUUUAAUAUUCAUAACAUCAAAACUUUGAAAAAAUAAUUACAAUUUCAGCUAUUUUUAAAUAGUACAAAAAACUCUUAAAUAAGUUGUAAAAUUUUAUAAAAAGUAUUAUAAAAAGAAAUUGUAUUUUCAGAAAAAAUUAUAAUUUUAAACCGUUUAAAUAUAGAGAGAUUUAAGGAUUUAUUUUUAAAAAUAUAAAAAUUGGUCCGUCAAUUACUCUAAAAUUUAGAGAUCAAAAUAUAAUUUAUAUAAUAUAAAAUUUCUAGUUUUGAACUAAUGGAUGAAGAGAGAUUUAAGGAUUUAUUUUUAAAAAUAUAAAGACUGGUCCGUCAAUUACUCUAAAAUUUAAAGAUCAAAAUAUAAUUUAUAUAAUAUAAAAUUUUUAUUUAAAUUGAAAAUAAUAGAUAUUUAAAAUAUUUAUUUUUUAUUUGAAUAAUUAAUUAACAAAAUUAUGGAUGAAAUAACUUUCGAACAAAAUAAUUAUAUAGAAAUUUAAGUGUUUAAUUUUAAAAAAAUAAUCAUCAAUCUAUUAAUUAUAUUAAAAUUUAAAAAUUAAAAUAUAAUUUACUUUUUAUUAUAUAAUAUUUAUUAUAUAAUAUAUAUAAUAGUAUCGAUAAUAAAAUAAUUUUUAUUUUAUUUUAUAUAUAUGUGCGUUUUUAUUAUACAAAAAGAAAAAAAAAAAUAAUUAAUAUAAUUAUUUGCAUACAAUUUCUCGAGAUGAGACCUCUCGCCACUGUAAUUACAAUGACACACAAUUCCCUCCGGCAGAGACUCCAAAGAUUCACAGCUCGUAAUAUGAAGACGAAUCAAGUUGUGCGGCAAACCCCCUGCUGGGAGGGAGACCCUUUAUAGUCAAAUCUUUGAGAGAUUUUAGGUCUUUCAGUCCACUUGGCAACUCCUUCAGAUUUGGACACCCAUAUAUAUUCAAAACUUCAAGAUUGCAAGGCAAAAGCCCUGGCUCUCCAUCUACCAACGACACAAGCUCAUCACAUAACCCGAUUACCAAAUACUUUAGACUAGUAAGACUGGUGGAAUUAGUCACACUCCUGAGAAUUGCCUCGAGACAUUUUGUAAAAUGAAGUCUUGUAAGUGAUGGGAGCACUUUUGGCAAUUCAACCAAAAGCGGGCAAUCAACGAUAAAAAGAUUUUCCAGUGAAGGAAGGAAGGUGGGCAAUUUUCCAACCAACUUGGGACAAUUUCGUAUUUGGAGUUGAUGCAGCUUAGGAAAUUUUGGCACAGAAUCUUCCCCCAGACCAUUAGACCAAGCCCACUGCUCCCACUCACGCAUAUUUCUAAUCUCUAGUUCUUCCAAACAAGAAAAACAUGAAUCAUCCUCAUAAAACUCAACACCGACUUCUUUCACUCCUCUCAUAUCUCCUAUCCUCAACUUUUUUAAUGACUUUAAUAGUCCGAGCGGUGGCAAUGAUGUCAUUUGGCGACAGUUCCAUAGCUCCACCUGCACCAUGCCAGAGAAUGAAGGCUCACCUAGCCAUGAUGGGAAUUUCCUACCACCAAAUGAUGUAAUUGAUAGGCUUGACAGACUUUGAUAUGGCUGAAUUGAGUUGAGAACUUGUUCUUCAUGACUUGGGUUUCUCAAAUCAUCGAAAUGUUCAUCCGCUUCAGCCCAUUCUAAGUGCAACUCAGUGAUACCAGGCUUAUCCUUCAAAUUGACAAAACCCGCAUCUGGAAUAUCUGCCAGUUCCACAUUCUCUAAACUUGUAAUAUGAAGCUGCCCUCGAAGAUCACAAAAAAAUUAAAUGGAUUUCACAUGCUGUAUUAAGAGAAGAAAAAAAACAAAAAAAUCUCUUUCAAUGAUUUAGGAAUUUCUAUUCUUUUAUUUUAAUUUGAAAAAUAAAAUACAAGUGGGUCGUCCGUACGAAAGUGGGUCGUCCCUCCCUUCUUCCGGGAUGAGAUUUUAUAUAGUUAGUUUUUUUUUUUUUUUUNNNNNNNNNNNNNNNNNNNNUUAGAUAUUUUUUGGUGAGGGUUUUCUUUCUUCAAAUCUGCAUGUUCUUAUUUGCUUUUGUUAAUGGUUUUCGCUGUCGCUUCAGGGACUUACUUUUGAGGUUUUAAGUGUUGGCUAAGUUUUCUUCUUCGGCUACCCCUCUGUCUAUAUGAGAUUGAGAGACAGAGGGGCUAUGCUUCCUUCUCUCUUCUUUCUCUCCUUAGAGCUCUUUUAAGGUUCUUUUAUGCGCCUUUUGUUUUUUCUUGCGGCUUUUCUCCUAGCGGGUUAGCUCCCAGAGAAUCCUGUGAAGUUGUGUUUAGGACUUCGCUGUCGCUACCUGCUGCUUCUAGCUUUUCGCUUGCGGAUGCAUGUAAAUUUGAAGUUAGUGUUCAAUUUUUAUUCAUUAAAAUAUUUUAAUGUAUAUAUAUAUAUAUAUAUUAGCACUCCAAGACUUAACCUGCUGGAAAGUGCAUUCUGUAACCUAAGUCUAAAGUUCGAUUCUCCUAACCCCUAUUUCAAAAAAAAAAUAUAAUUUAUUUAAUAUUAAAGUAUAUGUAAAAUUAAUAAUUUAUUAUAAAAUAAAUUAUAUUUUAAUUUUUAAAUUUUAAUAUAAUUAACGGAUUAAUUUUUAUAUUUUUAAAAUUAAAUAUUUAUAAUUUUCUAUAAUUAGUUCAUUCAAAUUAGAGUUUCCUCCAUUCAUUUUUAUCAUUCAAAGCAUAUAAAUAUUUUUAUUAUCUUUUUUAAAUGGAUAAAUUAUAUUUAAAUUUUUAAAUUUUUAAAUUUUAACAUAAUUAAUAGAUCUAUUUUUAGUAUUUUUAAAAUUAUAUACUUAUAUCACUUUAUAAUUAAAUACCGUUCUAUUAUAAUUUAAACUUUUUGAUAUUUCAUUUUUUUUAUUUGAAACAACACUUAAAUUUUCAUUAACUUUUAUCCAUAAUAUUUUAUUUAAUUAAUUUUUAAAUUUUUUGUUAUUUAAUUUUUAUUUAUUAAAAUAUUUUAAUAUUUUUAAAAAAAUUACUUACUAUUUCAGUUAUUUUUAAAUGGUAGAAAUAUCACCUAUAAUAUCUUAUUUAAUUAAUUAUCUAUAAUAUCUUAUUUAAUUAAUCUCCAUUAAGUAUUGUCUAUAAUAUCUUAUUUAAUUAAUUUUUAACUUUUUUUAUUAUUUAAUUUUUAUUCAUUAAAAUAUUUUAAUAUUCAUAACAUUAAAACUUUGAAAAAAUAAUUAUAAUUUCAGCUAUUUUUAAAUAGUACAAAAAACUCUUAAAUAAGUUGUAAAAUUUUAUAAAGAGUAUUAUAGAAAGAAAUUGUACUUUCAGAAAAAAUUUGACCACCUACUAGUUUUGAACUAAUGGAUGAAAAAAUUAUAAUUUUAAACAGUUUAAAUACAGAGAGAUUUAAAGAUUUAUUUUUAAAAAUAUAAAAACUGAUAUGUCAAUUACUCUAAAAUUUAAAAAUCAAAAUAUAAUUUAUAUAAUAUAAAAUUUCCACCUAAAUUAAAAAUAAUAGAUAUUUAAAAUAUUUAUUUUUUAUUUGGACAAUUAAUUAAUGAAAUUAUGGAUAAAAUAAUUUGAACAAAAUAAUUAUACAGAGAUUUAAAUAUUUAUUUUUACAAAAAUAAAAAUCGAUCUAUUAAUUAUAUUNNNNNNNNNNNNNNNNNNNNNNNNNNNNNNNNNNNNNNNNNNNNNNNNNNNNNNNNNNNNNNNNNNNNNNNNNNNNNNNNNNNNNNNNNNNNNNNNNNNNNNNNNNNNNNNNNNNNNNNNNNNNNNNNNNNNNNNNNNNNNNNNNNNNNNNNNNNNNNNNNNNNNNNNNNNNNNNNNNNNNNNNNNNNNNNNNNNNNNNNNNNNNNNNNNNNNNNNNNNNNNNNNNNNNNNNNNNNNNNNNNNNNNNNNNNNNNNNNNNNNNNNNNNNNNNNNNNNNNNNNNNNNNNNNNNNNNNNNNNNNNNNNNNNNNNNNNNNNNNNNNNNNNNNNNNNNNNNNNNNNNNNNNNNNNNNNNNNNNNNNNNNNNNNNNNNNNNNNNNNNNNNNNNNNNNNNNNNNNNNNNNNNNNNNNNNNNNNNNNNNNNNNNNNNNNNNNNNNNNNNNNNNNNNNNNNNNNNNNNNNNNNNNNNNNNNNNNNNNNNNNNNNNNNNNNNNNNNNNNNNNNNNNNNNNNNNNNNNNNNNNNNNNNNNNNNNNNNNNNNNNNNNNNNNNNNNNNNNNNNNNNNNNNNNNNNNNNNNNNNNNNNNNNNNNNNNNNNNNNNNGAAGACUAGUGGUCAAACCAUUAACUUUGCCAAAUCUUUUUUAUUCUUCAGCCCUAAUAUUCCAACACAGGUUAAGGGAGAUAUUGCAUCAUGUAGGCCUACCAACAGCUAUCACUACAUCUAAAUCUCAAUCAUUUGCAAAAAUUAGAGAUCAAAUCUAGAGAAAGGUUACCAAUUGGAAAGGGAAGAUGCUGUCACAAGGAGCUAGAGAAGUUUUAAUUAAAUUAGUAGCCUUAGCAAUCCCAACUUAUGCAAUGAGUCGCUUUCGACUGCAUUCAUCUUUUUGUCAAUUAGUCAAUAGCUUGUUAGCAAGGUUUUUGUAGGGUAAAAAAGAAAAUGAAAGAAAAUUCACGAGAUUUCAUGGGCAAAAAUGUGCAAACCAAAGGCAGAUAUUUCUCUUACUCAUAUUUUAUGCAAGCUAUACAAGGUUCUAGACUAUCUUGGACAUGGCAAAGUAUAUUGUGGAGUCGACAAGUCCUAGAAAAAGGGAUCCGGUGGAAUGUCAUUGAUGGAAAUUCUAUCUUAUGCAAAUAGGAAAAUUGGAUCCCAAAAACCUUCCCUCGAAUCUCUACAGUGAAGCAAGAUCUGGAGCUAUCAAUACAUUAGGUAUCCUAAUUGUUAGACAUUGCUUCUCACCCUUGGGACAUCCAAAAAUUGAAAGGAGUUUUCGAAGAUGUUGAAAUCAAAAAUAUUAUGGCAAUUCUGAUCAAUCCGUUUAGAGGAGAGGAUGAACGUGACUAGCACUUCUCGAAAUUAGGAGAAUAUUUAGUCAAAUUCGGAUACUAGAUAGCUUGUAAUUUAAGGGACAGACUUCUAGUUAGAACAAAUUACAGUGAAUCAAUACUGUACAAAUGGUGAUAUUUAGACUUGGCAAGAGCUAUGGAAGCUAAAACUCCCUCUAAAGCUUUCAAUCUUCAUGUGAAAGUUCCUUCAUGACCAUCUACCAACAAAUGAGAGGCUGCACAAUUUGGGAAUCUCUUCGUGCUCUAAUCAUAAGCUUUAUGGUAUGACAGAAUCAUCAGGCCAUAUUUUCUUCCUAUGUCCUCGAGCAGUACAAGUUUGAUUGAUCUCGCUUUUAAUGUUUUGGGUAGUAAGUUUGAACAGCACAUCACCAAAAGAAUAUUGGAAUGAAAUUAAGUCAUUCCUAAGGAUCAAUGACCACGAUGCCAAGUGGAAGAGAAUGAUAGUCUUUCUGUUGUGAUAAUUAUGGAAAGAGCAAAAUGAACACAAUCUUUAAGGAUAUAAACAUUCAAGUAAAUCAUCCAGUAAGUGCAGGGUUGAGAUAUUUGAAUGAGUUUCUGAGCAAUAUUCCAAAUACAUGUCCAAUACAAUCAUGAUUUGAUCAAAUUGACAUGAAAUAGGAAAGACCUGCUAGAGAAAUAGUUAAAAUUAAUUUUAAUGGGACGGUGAGUGGCACGAAAAAUAGAGGUUUAAUUGCGGUAAUUAUUCAAAAUGAAGAAAAGGAUCGGUCCUAAGCUGAAGGUGCAAGAGAUUCAUAAGAAUAAUUGACUCUUUAAUUCUAGAAGCAAUAGUAACAAGAGAGGCCGCUAGUGUAGCAGCUAACUAUAAAGUCAGAAGAGUUUAUAUUGUAGGAAAUUCUAUAAAAAUCGUUCAAAUUUUAAAAGGAAACUAAACUUAGUCUAGCCAUUAUUUAAAUAUUACUUUUAGUUAUAUCACUAGAAAGAAGAAUAAAACAGCCCAUUAUUUAGAAAAAGGAAACUAAUCAAUGAUUUUUUUUUUAAUUUUUGACUUAAUUAAAUUUUGUAUUUUUCAUUUUAUCCAUUAAGGGUCAGGAAUAUAAUUCUUAAAAAAAAAAAGAAAAUAGUAGUCUUCAAAGGACAUAAGUGGAGAAGGAUUUUUUUUUAAUUAAUUAAUGGAGAAGUUAAAGUCAAACUAAUUAGGCAUUCACAGGUGAAAAGUGGAUAUAAAUAAAUAUGAAAAAUUUAAUACUUCACUCCCUCAAUUUCUAAUUUUCAACUAAAAAAGUUAAAUUAAUUAGAUGUGACAUGCCAACAUGCUUUUUCUGCCAUUAUAUUGUUCUUUUUCCCAUUCGCUCCAUUAAAUUCACCCUUUAUUUUCUUUUUACAAUUUUGCAUUCAAUUAGAUAUAAUAAUAUCUGUAAUCCUUUAAAAAUAUCAAUUUAAACCUAUAAUUUUGAAUACAUGCUUCUGAAAAAUAGUAUAAUUUUAUUGUACUUUUACAAGUAAUUGAAGGGAGAAAUUUGUAGAUAAUAAAAAAUAAUUUAGAUUGUGAAUCAAUAUUAAAUUAAAAUACUUAAAUUUGUAGAGAGAAAAGAAAAAUAUAAUGGGUGAAUUAAUUGUGAAAAUGUAAAGAAAAAAGACAAAAAAAAAAAAAGAAAAAGAAAAAGAAAACAUCCAAGUAAAAUUUCUCGAAAUUAAUUGAAGUAAGUUUAGAAAUAUGCUAUAUAUAUAGCUCUUGCUCGCAAGUGGAUCACUUUUUCCUAACUUUAUUCAAUUUUUCACUAAAAAAAGCAAUAAAUCUUGUAGACUGUGACAACACUCCACUAAUACUUUUAGACUCCACCAAUUCCAACUUCACAAGUAUCACAUUUACUCUCAAAAAGUUUAUUAAAAUCGAGUAGAGUAAAAAUAGAAACAAAAAUAAGCUUAUUUUUAUUCUCUUUAAAACUCUUAUUGACAGCGUCUGUCCACAUAAAUUUAUGUACUCUCUUUUUUUAAGCAAUUUGUGAUAGAGGCAACGAUACUGCUGAAAUUUCUAAUAAAUUGUCGAUAAAAAAUAGCAAGGCCAUAAAAGCUGUGAACUUUAUAAAUAGUUUUAGAGAUAGGCCAAUUCCGUAUUACUUCUACCUUCUUCUCAUUAACAUGUAUUCAUUCUACACUAACAACAAAUUUUAAAAACAGAACGCGCUCCGUCAUAUAAAUACACUUCUUAAGAUUAAUAACCAAUUCAUUUUCUUGCAACGCUGUCAUGACUUGACGGAGAUGCUGUAAAUGUUUUUUUUUGAUGCGACUAAAAAUGAAAAUGUCAUCAAAAUAAACAAUCAUAAAUUUACGUAAGAAAUGACGCAAAACCAAAUUCAUGAGUCAUAUAAAAGUGUUAGGUGCAUUCAUCAAAUCAAAUGAUAUAACCAGCCAUUCAUACAAGUCUUCCUUAGUGUUGAAGGCGAUUUUCUCUUAGGGUUUAAGCUUCAAGAUUAAUAACCAUGAUUAAUUUUCGUAGAACUAUCAAUAAAAAUUAUCUUGAGAAUUAUAGAAUAUUAUAAUGUGUGUCAUAGCCACCCUUUCCUAUUUGAGCAAACAUGGCCCCAUUGUUUAUUCUUGAAGCAUAAACCCUAAGAGAAAAUCAUUAUGCUUGAAUCGACUUUGAGGCCCUAUGAGUUUGAGAUCAACUUAAUAAAACAACAAUUUUUUUUUAAAAAAAAAAGAAAUUUCAUGAUUUAUUCAAUUAGACAUAAUUAAAAUAAAUUGAAAUUUAAUAAAUUAGUCAUGAUAAAUGUUUAUUUUAUCCUCAUCAUGAAAUUCAAUUUUCUUUAGUAAUCAUUAAAUUUAAUUACUAGUUUGAUAAUCAUUGGUAUAAUUUUUUUUUAUUAUACAAUUAAUAUUACUUAAUGAAAAGUUUACUCGAUGAAUCAUAAUAUUUAAAAAUUAAUGAAAAGUUUACUUAAUGAAUCAUAAUAUCUAAAAAUUAUUCGAUUUUAAUUUUAGUACGAUUCUAAUUAAGAAUUAAAAUUCAAACUAAACAUUUAAUUCUUUAAUUUUUAAGAGUUAUAUUAAAAAUUAAAUUUUGAUAUAAUUUUAAAUAAUAUCGAUAUAGUUUCAGUUUAAUUUUAAUUUUAAUUUUUAAAAAUAAAGUUAUAGUAUUUUUAUAUUUAUUUUAAAAUAUUAAAUAAUUAACAUUAAAAUAAUAAUAAAAAAAUAUUAUAUAUAAUUCUCUACUAAUAUAUAAUUCACUCAUAUGAUUAAAAAUUAUAAAAUAAUUAAUAUAUUUAUAUAUGAAAUAGUAAAUAUAUAGAUACAAACAUCUUUAUAUAAUUUAUUAAAUUAUAAUUAACAAAUUAAAUUAUUUAAAUCAUAUUUAUUAAAAAUCUCUAAUAACUAAUUAAAUUAUAUAAUUAUUUUAUAAUAUUACUAAUAAUUAAAUAAUUAAAAGAGUGAUUUAUAUUUAAAUUAUAUAAAUAAUUUAAUUUAUAAAAAUAAUUUGAUAAUAUUAACUAUAAAAAUAAUCAAAUAAAAAGUAUAUAUACACGUAUUCAAUGAACUAAAUUCUUAGAGUCUCAAAUGUCCUGAUCCAAGACAGAUUAGUAAUCUUAACAUUUUCCAACUUUUAUGAUCAUCAUCAGUGCAUGCCACCAAAAUCUGCAGAGUUGUUGAGCUUAGUUUCUACCAUUUCACUGCGACAGACAUAAUUCAAUAAGUUUCAGUACCUGAAAGGGAGCAGCUAGAUUCCUUUUUGUUCCCAAGAAGGUGAAAUUUCCUGAUCAUGUAUAGCAAUAAGAUGGAUGGUCACAAAUUGAAUAACGGAUAAGUUGAUCAGAACAAAAGGAAAACACCCAAUUUGUUCCUCUGCCAUUAACAUCUUGUUUAGGAGAAAACAAAGUGAUAGAAUUCAAUUCAAUCGUGCUAAAAAAAUCCAUGAAUUCACAUGUUCGGAUACUGAAAUAAUAGAAUCCAAUUAAAUAUCAGUAUUUGAAAUAAUUGAAAGGUCAACUGAAUUGAAAAAAAGAUGCUCACAUCUCUAUAGUGCUGCAUUGUUUCAGAAUAAGUACUACAGGAAUAUUUACCUCAUUGUUGGAGUGCUGCAAAGUCAUCUUUAACUGGGAAGGACUGCAAAAUCAUCUAUACCAACAAAGGGGAUAUCAGAAAUGAUAGGCCAGCUGUGAAUAUCUAUGCAUUCAAGUGUAGCAGGAAGGCCCUCAGCUGGGAAGGACUGCAGUUUUGGGCACCACCAAAUUGAUAAUUUUUCAAGAGAGGUGAGCUUUUGGAUACCCCUGGAUAUGGAUUUUAGAUUCUUGAAUCCAAUAAUGAAUAGGUGGGUAAGAGAAGUGGGAAGCAGAAAGCCGUCGUCAUCUGGAAAGGAAAUAAAAUCUCCAGUUGACUCCACGUUUAGAACCAAACUUCUAAGAGAGACGAGUCUGUGGAGUCCCCACUCUAGCAUUGGCUGUUUCAUAUUCAAGCACUCUCGAAUAUGAAGGGAAGUUAGGUUAGGGGGUAAACAACCUCCUUCUAAGGACUCCAUACCUUCACAUACUGAUAUAUCUAUAGAUUGAAGGGAAGUGAGGUUUUGCAUCCGAUUGGGUAGAGACCUCAAAUUUUUGCACCAGGAAAUUUGAAAUGACACAAGCUUGGGGUUGGGCAAUCCCAUCUCUGGGAAAAACUCUAAUUGAUGACAGCCCCCUAUUUCUAACUGUUGGAGACUUUGAAAGUCUUGCAUAUGAUUGGAUAGAGACCUCAAUCCUUCACAGUGAGCUAUUGUUAAAGAGAUAAGAGAAGGGAGAGGCAAUUCCUUCCCUGGAAACGACUCUAAUUGAGGACACUUCUCUAUGUGUAAUUCUGUAAGAUGAGAAAGCCCACAGUAUAGCGAGUUUAAAAAUUGUGGCGUCCAGUUGUGAAUUCGAAGAGUCUUAAGGGAAUAUGGAAACUUUCCAUUUGAAGAGCAUCUGAGGGAUUCACAUCCAGAGAUAUACAAUUUCUCGAGAUGAGACGUCUCGCCACUGUAAUUACUAGGACACACAAUUCCUUCCGGCAUAGACUCCAAUGAUUCACAGCUUGUAAUACGAAGACGUAUCAUGUUGUGCGGCAAACCCCCUGUUGGGAAGGAGACUAAACUUCUACAUCGCCUUAUAGUCAAAUAUUUGAGAGAUUUGAGGUCUUUCAGUCCACUUGGCAACUCCUUCAGAUUUGGACACUCAUAUAUUUUCAAAACUUCAAGAUUGCAAGGCAAAAGCCCUGGCUCUCCAUCUACCAACGACACAAGCUCAUCACAUAACGCGAUUUCCAAACAGUUUAGACUAGUAAGACAGGUGGCAUUAGUCACACUCCUGAGAAUUGCCUCUUGACAUCUUCUAAUAGAGUGCUGUAAGUGAUGGGAGAACUUUUGGUAAUUCAACCAAAAGCGGGCAAUCAACGAUGAAAAGUUUUUCCAGUGAAGGAAGGAAGGUGGGCAAUUUCCCAACCAACUUGGGACAAUUUCGUAUUUGGAGUUGAUGCAGCUUAGGAAAUUUUGGCACAGAAUCUUCACCCAGACCAUUAGACCAAGCCCACAGCUCCCACUCACCCAUACUUCUAAUCUCUAGUUCUUCCAAACAAGAAAAACAUGAAUCAUCCUCAUAAAACUCAACACCCACUUCUUUCACUCCUCUCAUAUCUCCUAUGCUCAACCUUUUUAAUGACUUUAAUCGUCCAAGUGGUGGCAAUGAUGUCAUUUGGCGACACUUCCAUAGCUGCACCUGCACCAUGCCAGAGAAUGAAGGCUCACCCAGCCAUAAUGGGAAUUUCCUACCACCAAAUGAUGUAAUUGAUAGGCUUGACAGACUUUGAUAUGGCUGAACUGAGUUGAGAACUUGCUCUUCAUGACUUGGGUUUCUCAAAUCAUCAAAACGUUCAUCCGCUUCAGUCCAUUCCAAGUGCAAUUCAGUGAUACCAGGCUUAUCCUCCAAAUUGACAAAACCCGCAUCUCGAAUAUCUGCCACUUCCACAUUCUCUAAACUUGUAAUAUGAAGCUGCCCUCGAAGAUCACAAAGUUUCUUUAGCACCGUGAUCCGACCAUUGUUUUUCCCCAUGAUAAAUUUGGUCAACACGCAGAGACUAGUCAACUUACCAAUAUGUGGUGGCAUCUCUUUCAAUUUCCUUGUGCCAAUAAUGUCAAGAUGCUGCAAGUUGAGUAAAUUGCAUAUGCCUUUAGGUAACUCAAUAAGCUCAUCACAAUCACGCAACUUUAAUGUCUGUAAGUUGAAGAGUUUAUCCACUGAUUCAGGCAAUCCUUGGAUUGGAGUAUCAGAUAGGUUAAGGUAGCGUAAGUGCUUUAAGUCACCAAAAGAAUUUGGCAACUCCUCAAUCUCAUAACCAGCUAGAGAUCGUGACUUUAAGCAUUUUAAUUUUGGCACCAACUCAUGCACCACCUUACUAGUAAUGUGGCAUCUAAUCCGAUCCUCCCGCACGGAUAAAAAUGUGCGCAAAUUCUUCAUUUCACAGAAGCUUUGAAAUCUUUGAAAAGUGUUCAUAAAAUGAGGAAUAAAUGAAGAAUGUCUAAUCUUUGCAAAUGAUUUUGCAUUCUCCAACUUACCAACCAUAUGCAAACAUAUUUCUCUGCUAACAAAGCAAGCUAAAUCAACAAUUAGGUCAUGCAUUAUAUAUUUUGAUUUAUUAUCAUUUGAUUGUUGAAAAAAUGAUCUUGAUAAUAAAUCAUCAAAAUAUUUAUGACCCAAACCUUCACUAUCUUUCAUUUUCUUCUGGUCAUACAAGAAACCCUCAGCCAUCCACAGCAAAACCAAUUCAUUCCUAUCAAACUCGCGAUCCUUUGGUAGUAUUGCGCAAUAAGAGAAACAUCGCUUUAAAUGAGGUGGAAGAUGAAGAUAGCUCAACUUCAAGGCUGGAAGGAUAUUGCUCCUAUUGUCUGGUAAUUCCCACAUCUCACUGCUCAACACUUCCUUCCACAAAUCAGGAUUUGGUUUACCCUUUAAGAUGCCUCCAAGAGAUUUUGCUGCCAAAGGUAAUCCUCCACAUCUUUUGACAAUCUCCUCACCCAUUUGUUUCAGCUCCAAGUGCGCGUCAAAAUUAUUUGCUCCCAAAGCAUGCUGGGCAAACACAGACAUGCAUUCAUUGUGUGACAGCUUCUUAAGAGCAUAUGCUUGAGUCGUACCCAUCAUUAAUGAAACAUCCUGACUUCGAGUCGUGACGAUAACUCUGCUUUGAGGAGCCCCUGCUUCAAACGGACCCCAAAACAGAGUCCAUUCCUCAUAGUUCUGGGUCCACACAUCAUCUAGGACAACUAAAAACUUAUUUCCAGACAACUUUUGCUUCAAUUUUACCUGAAGCACAUUUAAAUCUUUAUCAUCACCACCAUCACCCAGCUGAAGAAGAAAUGUUUUUGUGACCCUGGAAACAUCAAAAUCUUCACCAACAGACACCCAGGCUUUUAAAUCAAACUCCAACAUGGGAUCAUUGUAGACUAGCUGAGCUAGAGUUGUCUUGCCAAGGCCUCCCAUCCCAACUAUGGAGAUCACAGAUACCUGGGCAUCACUUGUCUCAGCAUUCAACAAUUUCAACAUCGCCUUCAUACUCAUAUAAUGUUAAGCCUGGUUUUUCAUACAUAUAACAUAAAACAUUUACAAAAAAGAUAUGUAUACAAAAGGAUUACAACUCUUACAAUCAAGCACCAUUCUAUACCCUGUACAAUAUACACUAUCUCUGUACAAUUACAUGUCCACACUAGCUAUUACAUACUCUUCUCUUUCUCUACCCUGCCGAACUCUUCUGGACUCUGAAGACUGAACCUGCAAAACUGGGGUUAAGGAAGAGGGAUGAGCUAUACUAGCCCAGUGAGUAGAACAUGUAAUAGAACAUGCGAUAAAUCAUGCUCUCAUGGAAUGCAUCACAUCACAAGUAAUCACCCAUCUCUGAUGGACUGACCCAAAAUUUUCUCUGCUCUGUGCUCGGCCCGCGAAGGAGCUCCUCAGGUCUUUAUUAUGCAAUCAAUAGUACCGAAGUACACUGUGCUCGACCCCUCUCAAAGGCUCCUCAGGACUUUACUGUGCCCGGCCCUCGAUGGGGCUCCUCAGGUCUUGAUGUGAGGGCUAAUGAGCCAUCCUAUGUCCAUCUCACAACAAUACAAUGUACAAGGAACAGUGCCAAGUACAUGGAAAAAUGCAAUGCGUCAUAUUCGUGUACACUAAUGCAGUCAACCUAUUGCAUAAUCAUGGUGCAUGAAGCAUGAUAAAAAUAUUCAUUUCUCAUAUUAAAACAUUAAGUUUAGUUCCACUCACCUCUGGCUGACUCUGUACUGACUCUGCAGGUUCUGAAGCAGUGCUCACUACUGACCUCCCUGAUUCCUCUGGUCCGUUCCUACACAGGUGGACUCAAAUGAAGGACCAAACUAACUCAAGAACAUCUCUAAAAAACUCCCCCAAACACCCUCUAAAAGAUCCUAAAACAAUCACAUAAAACAUGUAAAAGAAGGCUGGACAGGGCACCUUCGGCGGUAGGUUCGACGGCCGAAAGUCCUGUCCAGAGACGAAACUCAUGCACUUUCGGCGGCACCUUCGGCGGCACCUUCGGCGGCCGAACCUUGCCUCCAGAGACGAAAGUCCACAUUUUUGGAAGCAAGCUUUGGCAGCCGAAACUGCCUCCACAAGGGGUUCGGCGACUGAACUUUCCUUCGGCGGCCGAACCUGGUUCUCGCCUAUAGGGCAGAACCUGCUCUGUUUCAUGCAAAACUCCUCCAAUCCUUCACUCUACAUGCACACACAACUCCUCAACUAUCAUAUACAUAUGUAUAUGCACAAAGGGGUCCAAAACUAUCCUAAAACCCCAAGAAACAUAACAAACAACAAAUAAACACUCUUAUGCACCAAAGAUCAUUAAAAACCUCAACCAAACCUAAUCAUGCAUACUACCCAUAAAACUUCCAUAAAACCUUUAAAAAUCAAGAAAGAAGCUAAAGAUCAUCACUCACCUCUUGAAGAUCUCAAAGAUGGAUGAUCCCAACGUGGAGAUAUGAAGAAAUCCACUCUCAAAUCUCCAAGCUUCCAAACUUAGUUUCUUUGCUCAAAACUUCAAAACAACAUCAAAACUCUUAAAAACCUUGAAAGAUUUGGUGGAAAACAUGAAAAUCAUCAAAGUCAACUUGGGAAGGCUGGGACUCACCUCUGGCUGCAAGUGGAAGAGAAAUAUCCUCCUUCCACCGACCUUUGGCCCUUUUAUAGGUGGCUGGCCAGACCACCUUCGGCAGCCGAACGUGAAUCCGGAACCAUGCAAGGUUCGGCGGCCGAAAGUCACCUUCGGCGGCCAAACUUGCCAUUUUCUCCCUUGUUGCUUUUCUUUCAAAAACUCACUUUCUUUAACACUUAAAACAUUAAAACAUAUUAAAACUCUUUAGAAAACAUAUGUACUACCCUUCUAGAGGGUUCCAACACCCGAAAUUCCACCGGACUACAGGAAUUCCGAUGCCGGACUCUAGCCGGGUAUUACAUAGCUAGUGUGGACAUGCAAUUGUAAAGAGAUAGUGUAUGUUGUACAGUGUAUAGCAUUGUGCUUGACUUAUAAGAGUUGUAAUCCGUUUUGUAUAUACAUGGUCUGUUCAUGAAAAUGAUUUUUAUUGUAUAUGUAUGAAAAACCAGGCUUAACAGGAGAUAACCCGCCUAGAGCAAGGAUGAGAGCUCUAGCAGGGGUUUUAUAGUACAGAGAUAGAGUAUGCACAGGUUGAGCCUUGGAACAGAGAACAGUUUUAACUUUUACAGAAAAUAUAUGAUCAUGUAUGGGAUUUCACAGGUACACAGAGUUCACAGCAGGCUUGCUACGGGUCCCGGCGGCCUUAAGCCGAUCUGGAUCCUAGCGCCGAUAGCAGUUCAGUUUCCGGGCUAUUACAGAUUGGUAUCAGAGCCCUAGGUUCACAUGGUCGGACCUAUAUAGACAGAAUCGGGCUUAUAGAGGUUCUAGCAGGUCAAGCACCAUAGGAAAAUAUGUCCACUAGGAUAGGAUGUCAGUCCUGUCUUUAUGAUGAUGUGAAAUGCCAUGAUUCAUGCAUGAGCAUUAUAUUAUAUGUGAUGUAUGCUUGAGGUUCAUGUGUUUCCACAUGGACUAUAUGUUGCUGAUGUGCUAUGUUAUGUGUUGCUUUCCAGAGAGUUAGGAUGCGAGGAACUCGUCGAUCAACGAGAUUGACUGGAGUCCCACCAGAAAGUGAGGGUACAGCUGCUCGUCCUCCUGCAUUGCCAAGGGCAAGGACUCACAGAUCAAGCAGGGAGGGAAUGUCAAGAGACCCUAGAAGGUCUUCUGACGAGAGCAGAAGAGGAGUAGACAGAGGAGGAAGAUCAGAGGAAGCAAGAGAGGCUAUGGAUGUAGAUCAGGGAGGAGAUGAAAGUAUGGGUGUGGGAAGGUCUGAAGAAGGUAUGGGGGAGUCCCAGGGAGGUGCUCAGGCCUCGGGGUUUGGCUAUCCACCCUUUCCACAGGGUCCCGGGGUAUCCAAUGGGAGGUACGUCGGAUUACUCCAGCUUUGCCCCAUAUCCACCCUAUAUGCCCUACAUGCCUUAUCCUUCUUUUUACCCACCAUAUCAUAUGCAUCCACCCCCACCUUUUCAUCCAAGUCCAGCACACCCUGAAUCUAGAGAAACAAUACCUCCACCACCACCACCUGAACCAGCAGCCCCUGUUGUGGAAGCACAGCAACCCAGUUCUUCAGGGGGAAACAAGGUGAAGAUGACAGAGUACUUAAAGUUGGAUGCUCCUAAAUUCAAUACGGGAGAUGAUCCCUUUGAGUAUCUCAGUGCAGUCAGAAUGAUAACAAGUGAGUUGGGAGCAGAUGAUAGCAGAGCCAUUGAGAUGGCAGGGUUCACAUUAAAGUGCAAGAAAGCAAGAGAAUGGUUCAAAAACUAUAUGGACCCCAUAAUAGACGGCAUGACUUGGGAAGAGUUCGCCAAUGAGUUUGCUGGGUGGGCUUUUCCUGACAGUUCCAGGGAGAGGAAGAUUGUAGAGUUCGAACAAUUGAGACAGACAGAGGAUAUGAGCGCUGAUCAGUAUACAGAUAAGUUCCUGGAAUUGUUACCGUUUGUGGGUCAGACUUAUGAUACUGACCAGAAGAAGGCAAGGAGAUAUGCCACAAGGCUUCAUCCCAGGUAUUUCUCCUUGAUCCUUCCAGCAGAAAAAGAGAGUUUUCACUCCAUUGUGGAUGCAGCCAGAAAGAUGGAGGCAAGUGCCAUCCUACAGGGAACAGUGAAGCAGCAGGUGGCACAGUCAUCAGGUUCUAAGGCCCCCAGUACAGCAGUUUCUGGCAGCAAAAAGGGAGAGAAGUUCAAGUCUAAGAGAGGAAAGUUUUGGAACAGAAUCAGAUCUGGUCUGGGAAUGAGUAGUGGCUCCAGCUCUGGCACAGGCAGUACAGUGUGUAGGAAAUGUGGGAGAUCACACGGGAGAGUUUGUCGGCUGAGAUCUACAGCCUGCUAUAGAUGUGGGCAGGAGGGACAUAUUGCACGAGAAUGUCCUCAGGCGACCUUAAUGGCACCAUCCCAGCAGAUGACCUCAGGCAGUGUAGCACAGCCAGCAGCUUCAGCCGUACCAAAGAGCAGUGGCAGAGGUAGAGGAAGAGGGGCAGCCUCUUCAUCAGGGAUGGGUUCCCGAGGUGCAGGUCCAUCAGCCCCAGCACAAAUUUUCACCAUGACUCAGUAGGAAGCAGACACUUCGAACACAGUGGUGUCAGGUAAUCUCAUCAUUGGGUGUUCAGAGGUGUAUGCUUUGAUGGACCCCGGUGCUUCUCACUCUUUCAUUGCUUCUAGAGCCGCAGAGAGAUUGGGUUUGAUAGUCUCUGAGUUAGAGUGUCCUCUUUGGGUUAGUGGACCCAAAUGUGACCCAUCAUUGGCAGAGUCAGUCCACUACAACAUAUUACAUCUCUAGUUACGAUACGUAGCUACAAAAAAAAUUAUUGUGGCUAAUAUAUUUAUUUUAUUACGGCUAAAAACCUAUUGUGGCUAAUUUAAACUAUUUAGAAACAAAAAUGCAACAAUUAUAACUAAUAUGUAUUUUUUAUUUUAUUUUAUAUAUAAUGUAACUAUUUGUUGACUAUUUGCCACAAUUAAUUUUAGCUACAAAGUAAUAUCAUAGCUAAUAGAUAUAAUAGCUAUAAAUUUAAUUUUUUUGUAACAAUUACUACCAUUGUAGUCACAACACAUUAAUAUUAUAGGUAAUAAUUUUAAUAGCCAUAAAGCUAAUAUGAUUGUAGUAAUAAUUAUUUUAUUAGUUAUAGUUUAUUAGUCAUUACAAAAAAUUUAUGGCAGAAACAUAAAAAUAUUAGUCAUGUAAUUAUGUUUGUCAUAACUAUUACUAAAUCAUUAGCCACAACAUCGUAGCUAAAUGAAUUGUAUGAGUACUAUGAUAUUUUAGUUAUAAUUAUCAAAGAGUCAUGGAAAAGAACGGCGACAAAAGUUGUGCUAACUUGGGCACACUUAUUGGUACAAUGGAAAAAAUAUUUGGGAACACUUCAAAUUUUUUUUUUUGUUCUUUGCUUAAUUGGUCCCACUUUAAUUAGAGUCCGCUAAUCUAACCUUAUUACUAUUAGUAAUAUAUUUUACUUAAGAUAUUCAAUAUAUAUAAUAGAAUAAUUAAACUUCAUUUUGUAGAAAAUAUGUUUCAUUUUUUAUGAAAUAUAACAUUUUGACUAUAUAAUAAUAAUAAUAAUAAUAAUAAUAAUAAUAAUAAAGCUAACUUUAUUAAAUACUAAUUAAAAAUUAAAAGUUUUCAUCGAAUUUCAUUAGGUGGCUGGAAAAUUAGCCUCCGUUGAAGCCAAUAUUGUAGCUAUAUUCUCUCUAUUGUGCUUUAAUGCUAUCAAUUCCAUAUGAGCUUCAACGACGCUAGAUAACCAUUAUUACAAAAAAAAUCAGAAAAAAUUUGAAAAAUGAAAAUGAAAAAGAAAAACAAAACUAAAAAUGCUAGAAGAAAAUCGAAAGCAAGUAAUUUCACACAUCAUUAACGAAAGUUAGUCUUAAUUCUAUAGAAUUAUUGUAUUUUUUCAGACUUGAAUAUAGUCGGUUUUUUAAGACUUCAAUACUAGUUCUUCUAUGAUUCUCGAUUUUAAAUCGGUUCUUCAUGAACCUUACUCUGUCAAAUAAUUAUAUCUUAGAAAAUUUAUCUCUUAAUUGAAACCAUAUACAGAAUUAUAUUUUCUAGUUCCGAUUCUUCUCUUAGAGCUGAGACCAGAAUUAAAACCUAAACCUGAACCAUAGAAAUAUAAUUGGAACCAAUACUAGAACUAGGAAAAAAAUUGGUAUCAAUUUCUUAAUUUCCAAGAAUCGUUUUUUUUUUUUAUCUAGUACCGCUUUCUUCUAGGAAUCAGUUUCAGAACCGGUACUACACACCCUUAGUAAAAUGAACUUUACACUGCUAUAUGCUUAAAGGUGAGCAUUUUAUAACCAUCACCGUGACCAAUUAGCAAAUUUGAAAAUUAUGGUAAUUGAAAAUUUUUUACAGAAUUACUAAUUACCGAACAUAAUUACUAAUCGAUAAACAAAAAAACCAAAAUUCUUUAUCCACAAUAUAUAAAUUAAAUUUAUACCAAAAUUAUUCCAAAUUUUUAACUAACGAUUUAACACCUUUAGGGUCUUAUUCCAUCAAAAAACACAAUUAUGCCAAAUUUGGCACACUUAAAAUUUUUUUUUUACAUGAAUUUUUUUUAUCUACAUAUUUGUAUUUUGCGUAUAAAUUAAUUUUGAAAUUUUUUUUUUGAAAAUAAAUUUAUUUUGAUGUUAAAAAUACAGCUCUACAAAGGUGUGGUCAUGAUUUUUUUUCUUUUAAAAAAAAAUUCAUAGCGUUGAUUUUGAAUCUGCUUAAACAAAUUAAAAUUAUUUUAUUUUGCUUAUUUAAUUAAAAAUAUAAAAUAUUUUAAUUACAAAAAAAUGAAAAUAAAAAAUAUUAUAUUAAUUAAUAAAGGGAACCCUAUCAAUUAGUGGCGGCAAUAUAAUGAUAAGCUUGCUAAUAUAUAUAUUUUUGGCUUGGGGGAAUGAAAACCUUAAAAUUAAAAAUUUCCUCCCUACAGCCGCUACUGCUACCGCUACGAAUUCUAUAUAAAUUUUCAUUCUCACUCAUGAUUCAUUCAGUUUUCAAUUUCUGUCCACUAUCAAAAGGAGAAGCUCCCACUAUCAAAUCCAAUCAGGUACGUUUAAAAUUACAAAAGCCUUAAAAUUAAUGUUUCAUUGUAAUUGUUCUAGGUUAAACACGUGAAAGGCAUCUGAUAUUUACUUUUCAUUCGUUUUUCAUCUGUUAAAAAGCUUUGAUUCACUAUUUUUAUAUUAAUUUAUCAUCUAUGUGUAAUAUUCAAUUUUUUCCAUGAAGCAGAAGCAAACAUCAUGGGUCAACGAUGCAAGUUGCGGAAAGAGAAUUCCAUCAAUAUUAACUUGAAAAAUGAGACUGAAAAUAAUGUUAACCAGAACUUUCAAGAAACUCAAGAGUUACACCAAAAUCAGGCUUUAAAUUUUCAAGGUAAAUAAUAUUUAUGUGAUUUAUAAAUUUUAAGUUGUUUUCGUAAAUAAUUAGAUGACUAACUUCAAUUUUUUUUUUUAGGGAAUACUAGUCAGAAGACAAUGAGGUAUCAUUAUGUAGGCCAUUUUAUAUUUUCACCAAAUAGAAUAUAUGAAAAUGGUAGGUUCAUGGAGAAACCUAAUUUUGAUAUUGAUUUCAUCUCAUUUUUUGAUAUAUUGGAUGACUUGAAAAAGGAUUGUGGAUUUGAUGUUAUAAAAGGAGAUAAAUUUUAUUACUUGAAGGCUGAUAAAGCUCUUAGUGAUCUUGAUGCAUUGAUAGAGGUUAAAGAUGAUACAGAUGUGAAAAAUAUGAUGGAUAGUUAUAAGAAGUUCCCUUCGAAACCCAUUGAUAUAUACACUCUAUUUCGAGAUUAUGAUAUUUUACCAAAUGGACUUGGUGACGAGCUACCCACAGUUACCGUUGAUCACACUUCUAAUCAACUUCAAAAUCCAAAUGUAACUACAGGUUUACUCAUUUAAUUUUAUUUAAACAAUUGAUUAUGUUUACUUGUUCUAUGUACAUAAAUUCUUGUUAUUAUAUGAUUAUUGUUUUACUUUUGUUUUGAAAUAGGUUCCAAUACAAUUAAAAGAAAAACUAGAGGACCAAUACGAUACUUGAAAAUCACACAAUUGGAGAAUGGGCAAAAAUUGCCAGUAGAAUUUGACGAAGAUGAUCAAGCUAUUGGUGAUAAUGCUACUGCAUUUGUUUGAUUUUUGGACAGAAAAUGCAUUUCAGGUAUUAAAAAUUUGUGUAAAAUUUAAUAAUUUAUUUUAUAUGAAUUCAAUUUCUAUUAGCUAACAUAAAUUCUGAAAAUUUUUCAUUGUUUUUCUUUAGGAGAGAAGCAACAAAAAUAAGACAAAUAGAUGCAAGCGUUCUAUGCCGCCAUACACGGGGAUAAAAAGCUUUGCUCGGCUGAGAGAUCAUAUGGUAUGAGUUUGUUUUUAUUUUAUUAGUAUUAUAGUGUUUUUUAUUAAUUAAAUGAUACAUAAAUAAUCACUUUUUACUGCUGUCGUUUUGUGGACUAUGGCUAGAAAGAAACAAAAUAGUAUUUGAUAAUUCUAGUUUAGAGCUUGAGAAAGUUUAUGAUUUGAUCUUUUAUGGAUCUUUUGUUUGGUUUAAGAUGUACCUAGCUUUCCUUAUUCCUUAAUCCAAAUUCUUUUUAGUAGCUUAACAAUCAAGAACUGGUCAACCUGUAAUGGUAUAAGCUAGCUGCUUGUUGUUAUUCUUUGUAUUCUACUAUAACUCUCAAAGUUCUAAUAAAAGCUAUUUUUAUAAAAAAAAAAAUAAUAAUAAUGCCUUUUGAAGUUCAUAUGAUUGUUAGAACUUUUUGAUAUGCCAUUUACUAUUUUUUCUAUAAAUGCCUAAUUAGACUCAGACUGCCGUUAUUAACCUUCAUUUCCCACAUCAAAACAAAUUCCCUUUUUCUUUAUGCUCAUUAAAGUUAAACAUGGCAAUUUUUUAGUAGUAUUAGAUUAGACAGCAAACACCAUUAAUAACUCACUCAUUUAAUGGUGGAAUUUGACCAUAUUUAAUAUUCUAAAUAUAGGAAUGAAUUAUGAUUGGUCAACCCUAUGAGCAUCCAAACUUGUAGAGUAAAUAAUAAUCAACAGUAUUAUGAAUUUUAACGCUUGAAUUGAUAUCAUUAGCUAUAAAAAUGUUAGCUCUUUUAUACAAGUUUUGUUUAUCUGCAGCAUAUUUGUAGUUAAGUCAAUUGACUCUUUUACGGAAAGUUUGGUUUUACUUGAACUCAAAUUUUUAUUGGUAUAGAUCUAUGAUAAACUAAUACUAAUUGUUAUAUUUAUUUGAACAGAAGAAAAAAAAUGGAAAAACACCUUCUUGCUUAGAGCUUUUUCUUGAAUCCAGAAAGAGAAAACAAGGCAAAGAAAUUGAUCCAAUAUCACAAGAAGCCGUUGUAAUACUUUUUACAUAUGUUUUAUUUAUUUGUUAUGUAUUUUAUGCUAUAUUUUGAUUUUUUUAAUAUCAAUAAAUAUAAAUAUCUCAAUAGGAAAAGUUUUAGCAACUAAAGAAACAAUGAGAAAAAGGACAAAUUUCACUAGAUGAUGAUGCUAUGUUUGCUGAUGUACUUGGGCAAGAAAAAAAUGGUUAUGUACGUGCUUAUGGUCCUGGAAAAAAUGUCACGGAAUAUUUUGGUGCUAGACCUACAAAAAUAAAACUACUUAGACAACUUGAUACUUCAAGAAGAGAAGCAAACGAGCGUGUCCAACAAAUUCAAAAAGAAGCAAGUGAACAAGUAAAUGAUGUUAAGAAGCAAAUGGAUGAGAAACUUGCAGAGAUGAAUAGAAUAUGGGAGCAGAAAUUCAAGAUGCUUUUGGAGAAAAAUAAUAAUAUUGCAUCAGUAAGUGAUUAAAAACUAAGUCUCAUUUUUUUUCUAAUAUAAGAUUUUUUGUAAGCUAUAUAACUAGUAUGAACCUUAUCUAUUUUAUAUAAUUUUGUUAUUAAUAUUUUCAAAUAAAAUUUUAUACAGCCUAUGGAGGAUUCCCAAGAUGAUGAAAUUGGAGAAUGAUUUGCAGUAUAUUUGAAGUUUUGGAUUUUGAAGCAGCCAGCAGCCUUAUAAUACUACUUUUAGAAAAUUUAGAUAUUAAUAUUAGUGUUAGUAUAGUAUUAUAAUUUCAAGUAUUUUAGUGUAAUUGCUUUAUGACUUAAAUUAGUUUAUUUUGGAUAUUAGUUAUUUUGGAUUAAAUUUAUUGUUAUUUUAUAAUUGUCAUUCUGAUUGAGUCUUAAUAUUAAUAUAUAAUUAUUUUAUAAAUUUAAAUUUUAGCUAAAUUUUUUAUAUAAAUUUUAUAUUCUAUUAUAAAUUUUACCAAAAUUAUUAAUAGAUAAAUAACAUAUGUAAUAGUAAAUUAUAAUAUAAUCCCAUUAAAUAAUAAUAAAUUAAAUAAAUAUUACAUUUUAGCUACAAAUAAUUAAUAGUAGCCGUAUGUACUAUAUUUAGAAUAGUUUCUAAUUUAAUAAUUUUGUGGCGUUAUUCAAUAGUUAUAAAAUAAAAUUAAGUGCAACAAUUAUACUAGAACUUGUCACUUUCUUAUUUUUGUGGCUAUAAAUUUUAUUCUUGCCUUAUAAUUAUUUAAAUGUGGCUAAUAGUAAAUAUUUUUUGUCAUACAAUUAAGUUUAUGGCUAAAUUUAGAUAUGUUAGCCAUAAAAUUAAAUUUGUAACUAUAUAUAAGUUUAAAUUGCCACAUUAUUAUUUUUGUAACAUAAUCAUAGCAAAAUCACUUACAAAAAAAGGUUGUUGUGGCAAAAAGAAAACGUGGUUACAAAUAUUCCAUUAUCGUGGCUAAUAACUAGCCACAAUAUUUAUUUUUAAUGGCAAUAUUUUUGCUUCAUUUAAAUAAAAAGUAUGACUAUAAAUAUUUAUUUUAGCCACAACACAGGUAAAUCCUGUAACUAAACUUUAGUUACGCCACUUCUAGCUACGGCAUGUCAUGGGAAAAAUAUGUUGUGGCAAAAGCAUCUAGCCACCAAAAUUCUAUUUUUAGCUCCAAUUUAUUUUGUGACAAGAUAUGGAUAAUGUUGUAGUGGUCUGUCGGUUUAGUCCAGUGUGUAUGAGAGUAGAUACCUUCCAGCUGACCUUGUGGUUCUAGAGUUAACAGAUUUUGAUGUCAUUCUAAAGAUGGAUUGGUUAUCUACGUAUAAUGCUACCUUGAACUGCAAGGACAAGGUAGUUAGUUUCAGAGACCAGGAUGGGUCAGAGUGUGUCUUCAGAGGAGACAGGAGGGGGACACCUAAAGGUUUGAUAUCAUCCCUUCAGGCUCGUAGGUUGUUGAGGAGGGGUUGUCAGGGGUUCCUGGCUCAUGUGAGAGAGCUAGACAGUCAGGUUAGGGAACCAUCCUCAAUACCAGUUGUUAGAGAGUUCCCAGAUGUGUUUCCUUAAGAGCUUCCAGGACUACCACCUGAUAGGAAAAUAGAGUUCGAGAUAGAGUUGAUGCCUGGUACCAGACCGAUCUCUAUUCCUCCCUACAGGAUGGCACCAGCAGAGCUAAGAGAGUUGAAAGAACAGUUACAGGAGUUGGUAGACAAGGGUUUCAUCCACCCGAGUACCUCACCUUGGGGUGCUCCAGUAUUGUUUGUCAGAAAGAAGGAUGGAUCUCUUAGACUUUGUAUCGACUACAAGCAGUUGAACAAAGUCACUACCAAAAACAAGUAUCCUCUACCCAGGAUCGAUGAUCUAUUCGACCAGCUGGUAGGAGCAGGUUGUUUCUCUAAGAUAGAUCUGAGGUCCGGAUACCACCAGUUGAAGAUUAGGGAAGAGGAUGUACCAAAGACUGCUUUCAGGACCAGAUAUGGGCAUUAUGAGUUCCUGGUAAUGCCGUUCGGGUUGACUAACGCCCCUGCAGCAUUCAUGGAUCUCAUGAACAGAGUUUUUAGAGAAUACCUGGAUCACUUUGGGAUCGUCUUUAUAGAUGAUAUCUUAGUGUACUCCAGGAAUGCAGAGGAGCAUGCCCAGCAUCUGAGGAUAGUCUUACAGACUUUGAGAGAGCAUGGCUUGUAUGCCAAGUUCUCCAAGUGCGAGCUCUGGCUGAGGAGCAUUUCUUUCUUGGGGCAUGUAGUAUCAGAUGAAGGCAUAGCAGUGGACCUCAAGAAGGUAGAGGCAGUAGCCAACUGGCCAAGACCCACCACAGUGACAGAGAUCAAAAGUUUUCUGGGUUUGACAGGCUAUUACAGGAGGUUCGUUCAGGACUUCUCGAAGAUAGCUGCUCCUAUGACCAGAUUGACCAGAAAGAACCAGAAGUUUGUAUGGUCAGAAGAAUGUGAAGAAAGUUUUGAAGAGCUGAAGAGACGGUUGACUUCAGCACCGGUGUUAGCUCUGCCAACUAGUGAUGAAGAUUUCACAGUGUUCUGUGAUGCAUCCCGAGUGGGAUUAGGUUGUGUGUUGAUGCAGAAUGACAGAGUGAUAGCUUAUGCUUCUAGAUAGCUGAAGAAGCACGAGCUGAACUAUCUGACACACGAUCUGGAAAUGGCAGCUGUUAUCUUUGCACUUAAGAUAUGGAGGCAUUACCUCUAUGGGGUAAAGUGUGAGAUCUACACGGAUCAUAAGAGCCUGCAACACAUCUUGAGUCAAAGAGAGCUGAAUUUGAGGCAGAGACGGUGGGUGGAAUUGCUCAGUGAUUAUGAUUGCAAGAUUCAGUAUCAUCCGGGAAAGGCUAAUAUUGUAGCUGAUGCCUUAAGCCGGAAGUCACUUGGCAGUUUAUCCCACACUACAGUUAGACUUAUCUGGUACAGGUGCUUUGAUUGCACAGAUGAGGGUUACACCCGUGUUUUUUGAGCAAGUGGCUCUGAAACAGCACGAGGACCCCGAGUUAGUGAAGAUUGCCAGGACUGUUCAGUCAGGCAACAGUGCAGAGUUCAGAUUUGACAGUGAGGGGAUUCUUCGUCACGGGAAGAGAUUAUGUGUACCAGAUGACAGCAGUUUGAAGGAAGGCAUUAUGAGGGAAGCUCAUAAUGCAAGGUAUAGCGUUCACCCUGGAGCCACCAAGAUGUAUCAAGAUCUGAGAAGAGUGUAUUGGUGGCCAGCCAUGAAAAGAGAAGUGGCACAGUUUGUGUCAGCCUGCGAGAUUUGUCAAAGGGUGAAGCUAGAGCACUAGAAGCCGGCUGGAAUGCUUAACCCACUGCCGAUUCCAGAGUGGAAAUGGGAGAACAUAGCUAUGGAUUUUGUAGUGGGGUUACCGGCGACGUCCAACAGGCUAGACUCCAUCUGGGUGAUUGUGGAUAGACUGACCAAAUCUGCACACUUCAUUCCAGUUAGGAGUAACUACUCUGUGGACAAACUUGCGCAGGUGUAUGUAGAAGAGAUAGUAAAGCUGCAUGGAGUUCCUGUGUCUAUAGUUUAAGAUAGAGGACCUCAGUUCACCUCCAGGUUUUGGCGGAGUCUGCAAGCUGCUAUGGGCACAAGGUUGGAUUUCAGCACUGCUUUCCAUCCACAGACAGACGGUCAGUCAAAGAGGACCAUCCAGACCAUAGAAGAUAUGUUGAGAAUGUGUGUGUUAGAUUUUGACGGUUCUUGGAGGCAGCAUCUACCUCUGGUGGAGUUUGCCUACAAUAACAGCCAUCAUGUUAGCAUAGGGAUGGCUCCUUAUGAAGCUUUGUAUGGAAGUAAGUGCAGGACACCUGUUUGCUGGGAAGAAGUAGGAGAGAAGGCUCUUGCAGGGCCAGAUAUUGUAGAGAUUACCAGCAGGCUAGUGCCUAUCAUCAGAGAGAGGAUCAGAACAGCUGUAAGCAGACAGAAGAGCUAUGCAGACAUCCGUAGGAAGCAGAUAGAGCUCCAGGAGGGGGAUAUGGUAUUGCUGAAGGUGUCUCCAAUGAAGGGAGUGGUUCGCUUUGGGAGGAAGGGUAAAUUAGCUCCACGGUACAUUGGUCCCUUUGAAAUCUUGCAGAAGAUCGGGAAUGUAUCGUAUAAGCUGGAUUUACCUGCAUCUAUGGAAAGAAUCCAUCCGAUUUUCCAUGUUUCUAUGCUACGGAAGUUCGUGUCAGAUCCGGGUAAGGUUCUCAGUGAAUCUGAUAUAGAUAUCCUAGGAGAUCUCACCUAUGAAGAGCAGCCAGUGAGGAUCAUUGACACUCAGAUCAGAAGGUUGAGAAACAAGGUGUAACGACCCGAAAAUCGGACCGCUACCGGCGCUAGGAUCCAGGUCGACUUAAGGCCGCUGGGACCCGUAGCAAGCCUAACAUGCUUCCUGUGAACCUGAUUAAUCCCAUACAUGAUCAACAACAUACAUAAAAAUUAAAACUUUUCUUUCAUUCAUUCUCUCAUACACCAACUCAACCUGUGCAUGCACUGAACAUAAACAUAAUCAUAAACAUUGGCCCCUCAGUGGGACCUCAUCAAUGCCCCCAAUGGGUGGCAUAACAUGAGUUGAGUUGGUUUACAUAUACAUCAUAAAACAUCUGAUAUCAUGUAUCAAAAGGGAUAACAACAUGCUAUGGUCAAGCACACUUCUAACAUCCUUAAACAUCAUUACAUAACUAUUCACAACUCUACAUCAUUAUACAAUUUGUCAUGUCCACAUUCUAGCUAUUACAUACACAAGACUUCAUUACUCUUGCUGACCUCCUGGUCUACCCUGUACCUGUAAGCCUGGGGGUUAAGGGAGAGGGGUGAGCUACUAGAGCCCAGUGAGCAGAAUAAUAAAACAUAUGAUAACAUGAAAUGCAUCACAUCACAGCUAAUCACAUCAAGGAUGAAUUUGUCACCAAUAGUCCUCUACAUGGUCCAACUAUGCCAGGGGCAUAGAAUGGGCCUCACUGGUCUUUCUCUUACAUAAUCAUAACAUAGCAUAACAUAACAUUCCAACUGUGCCAGGGGCGUAGAAUGGGCCUCACUAGUCUUUCUCUUACAUGGUGCCAGGGGCGUAGAAUGGGCCUCACUGGUCUUCCGUACCGUAUCAUCAUCAUAUCAUAACAUAUGAGGACUAAUGGAUCAUUCAACAUUCAUCCGCAUCAUCAACAUAUUAUGCAAUGCAGCAUAUUCGUGAGUUCUAAUGCAAGCACCCUUUUAUAUCUCAUGGCAUUCAUGAUGCGUGAAUCAUGCUAAAACUGGUUUAUUUAUUUAAAAGCAUAAGAGUUAUUCCACUCACCUCUGGCUGAAGCUCUACUGACUCAGAAGCAGCUGAACUCACUGCUGGGGUCCUCGGUUCCUCAGGUCCGAACCUACACAGGUGGACUCAAAUGAGGGACCAAACAACUAGAACAUAACUCUAAAAACAUCCCCCAAAAACCCCCUAGAACAUCAUGAAACAAUCAUAGAAAAACAUGCAAAAGAGGGCUGGACAGGGCACUUUCGGCGGCAGGUUAGGCGGCCGAAAGUCCCUCCAGAGCCGAAAGUUAGGCAGGUUCGGCGGCACCUUCGGCGGCCGAAACUCCCAGACAGAGGCGAAACUCAUGCAUGUUCGGCGGCACUUUCGGCGGCCGAAACUCCCAGACAGAGACGAAAGUCUCCUUUCGGGGGCAAGUUUUGGCAGCCGAAGGCUGCUUCCACAAGCAUGUUCGGCGGCCGAAAGUUCCUUCGGCUGCCGAACCUGGUUUCUCCCUUAGUGGCAGAAACUCAGCUCUCCUAUGCAUAUACGCCUCCAAAACUUCCCAAACAUGCAUAAACCUAUUCUACAACACACAUACACAAACAUACCAGCUCCUAGGGGCUUCAAACUAUCCUAAGCCCCAUCUACAACACAUCAAACAAUACAAAUCCAACAUACAUUGCUCAAAACAUAACAUUAACUCAAAAACCUAACUAUAAGCUAAACAUGCAUUCUACCCCAUAGAUCUACAUAAAACUUACUUAAAACAUGCAAUGAGCUUAAGAUCGGCUCUUACCUCUUGAAGAUCGAGAGAGAGACGACCUAAUCUUGGAGAUGGGAGAUUUUCAACUUCCUUGGGUCUCCAAGCUCAAAACUUGCUCAAAACUUGAAAAUCUUCAAAACAAAGCAAAAACUUGUGAAAAUCUUGAAAGAUCUAAAGGAAAGGACCCAAGAUUGGUGAGGGGUGACGGAGAGCUCACCUUGGCCGACAAUGGGGAGAAAAGCUCGCCCAUUUCGGCUAAGGGACCCUUUUAUAGUGGCUGGCCAGGCCACGUUCGGGGGCCGAACGUGCCUCCGCAUGUAUGCCAUGUUCGGCGGCCGAACUUGAGGUUCGGCGGCCGAACUUGGACUUCCCUCACUUAUGCCUUCGGGGGCCUAAGGCACACCCGAAAUGCCUGCAUGUUUGGCGGUCGAACUUGAGGUUCGGCGGCCGAACCUGGGUUUUCCUCCAAGGUUGUUUUCAUGCAAAAACUCAUUUCCAUCUUGCUUAAAACCGUAAAACACAUUAAAACAUUUUACGAAAACAUGGUUUUACCCUUCUAGAGGUUUCUGACAUCCGAGAUUCCACCGGACGGUAGGAAUUCCGAUACCGGAGUCUAGCCGGGUAUUACAGAUUCCGAUGGUAAAAGUUCUGUGGAACCACCACAAUCUAGAGGAGUGCAUCUGGGAGACACGAGAGUCCAUGCUCCAGCAAUACCCAUAUCUGUUCUAAGGUUAGUUAGUUUUCCCCUUUUCUAUGUGUUAUGUGUUUAUGUGUUUAAGGAACAUUCAGGGACGAAUGUUCUUAAGGGGGGAGAAUGUAAUACCCGGCCAGAGUCCAGCGUCGGAAUUCCUGUAGUCCGGUGGAUUUCUGAUGUCGGAAUGCCCUAGAAGGGUUCGGGUUAUGUUUUUACAUGUUUUUAAGAGUUUUUAAUGUUUUAAAGUGUUAAAAGAAAUGAGUUUUUGAAAGAAAAGCAACAAUGGAGAAAUGCCAAGGUUCGGCCGCCGAAGGUCACUUUCGGCCGCCGAACGUGCAUGGCAUUUGGGUUCUCCUUCGGCCGCCGUAGUUGGUCUGGCCAGCCAACUAUAAAAGGCCCUAGGUCGGUCAAAUGGAUAAGAUUUCCUUUCCAUUUGCACGAGCUGAGGUGAGACUUGAUCUUCCUUGAGUGAUUUAUGUGUUUUCUCAAACCUUUCAUAGUUUUGAAGGAUUUUCAUGUGGUUUUGAAGUUUUUGAGCAAAGGAGCAAAGUUUGGAAGCUUGGAGAUUUUGAGAGAGGAUUUUCCCAUAUCUCCACGUUGGGAUCGUUUAUUCUCUUGUUUGGAAGAGGUAAGUGAAGAUCCUGAACUUCCUUUCUUGAUUUUUGAAGGUUUUAUGGGAGUUUUGUGAGAGAUAUGCAUGAUUAGGUUUGUAAUACCCGGCUUGAGUUCGGCAUCGGAAUUCCUGUAGUCCGGUGGAAUCUCGGGUGUCGGAACCCUCGAGAAGGGUAAUACAGCUGUUUUCUGCGGUAUUUUUACUUGUUUUCAUGUUUUAAAGUGGUAAAAGCAUUGAGGUUUGAAAGAAAAGCAACAAGGGAGAAAUGCAAAGGUUCGGCCGCCGAAGGUCACUUUCGGCCGCCGAACAUUGCAUGGUUGCGGCUUCACGUUCGGCUGCCGAAGGUGGUCUGGCCAGCCACCUAUAAAAGGGCCAAAGGUCGGUGAGAGGAGGGUAUUUUCUCCUCCACUUGCAGCCAGAGGUGAGUUCCAGCCUCUUCCACGUUGACUUUCAUGUUUUCCAUGAUUUUCAUCAAAUCUUGCAUAAGUUUUAAGAGUUUUGGUGACUUUUGAAGGUUUUGAGCAAAAGAACCAAGUUUUGAAGCUAGGAGCUUUGGAAGAGCUUUUCUUCAUAUCUCCACGUUAGGAUCCUUCAUCCUCAAGUUGUUGAAGAGGUAAGUGAAGAUCCUGAGCUUCUUUGAUGAUUUUGAACGGUUUUAUGAAGUUUGUAUGGGUAGUAUGCAUGUUUAGGAUUAGGUGAGUUUUUGGUGAGUUGUGGUGUUCAAGCAUGUUUAAGUGAUAUGUGCUAUGUUUGUUUGGGGUUUUAGGGUAGGUUUAGACCCCUUUGUGCAUAUAUAUGUGUAUAUGCUAGUUGGGAGUAGUUGCUAUGCAUGUUUGUAGGUUUUUGGGCAAGUUUGCAUGAAACAGAGCAGGGUUCUGCCCUUCGGGCAAAACCAGGUUCGGCCGCCGAAGGAAGGUUCGGCCGCCGAACCCCUUGUGGAGGCAGUUUCGGCUGCCAAAGGUUGCCCCCGAAAGCUAGGCUUUCGGUUUAGAAAGAGACUUUCGGCCGCCGAAAGAGGGAGUUAGGCCGCCGAAAGUGUGUGAGUUUCGUCUCUGGACGAGACCUUCGGCCGCCGAAGGUGCCGCCGAACAUGCAUGAGUUUCGUCUCUGGAGUGGGGUUUCGGCCGCCGAACCUGCCGCCGAAAGUGCCCUGUCCAGCUUUCUUUUGCAUGUUUUAUGUGAUGGUUGUAGGCUUGUUUAGAGGGGUUUUUGGGGAGUUUCUUAGAGAUGUUCAUGAGUGAGUUUGGUCCCUCAUUUGAGUCCACCUGUGUAGGUACGGACCAGAGGAAUCAGGGAAGUCAGUAGUGAGUCCAGUGUCAGAACCUGCAGAGUCAGUUUAGAGAUAAUUAAAGGUGAGUGGAACUUAACUUAAUGUUUUAAAUGAGAACUGCAUCUUUUAUCAUGCUUCAUGCAUCAUGAAUAUGCUAUAGGGUGAGUGCAUUAGUAUACACGACUAUGAUGCAUUGCAUUUAUCCUUGUACUUGGCAUGGCUCCUUGUACAUUGCUUAUGUGAGACGGCAUGGACUUCGUGAGGAUUCAUUAGCCCUCAGAGGAAAGACCUGGAACAGCCCUACGGGGACCAGGCACGACACAAAGACCUGGAACAGCCCUACGGGGACCAGGCACAUGGUACUCAGGUACCCCAGAUGAGAUAGAGGGAGUUUUGAUCCGUCCGGCCGAGGUAAUGUGAUUAUGUGUUGCAUUUCAUGAGAGCAUGUUUUAUCACCUGUUAGUUGAUUAUUCUACUCACUGGGCUAUAGUAGCUCAUCCCUCUCCCCUAACUCCAGUUGUGCAGGUUCAGAGGUCAGAGAGAACUCAGCAGGGUACAGGAAGAGUACAGAGUAUUGUAAUAGCUAGUGUGGACAUGUAAUGUAAAGAGAUAGUGUAUAUGUACAGUGUAUAGACUGGUGCUUGACUUAUAAGAGUUGUAAUCCCUUUGUGUCGUUACAUGAUCAGUUUAUGUAUGUUUCUUUAUUGUUGUCUGUGUAUGAGCAAAACCAGGCUUAACAUUAUGAGUUUGAUCCGCCUAGAGCCAUGAGGAGCUCUAGUAAGGAUUGAUAGAGCACAGAGAGAGUGCAUGCACAUGUUAAGUCUGGAAAUGAAGGAAACUUUUAUGUUUUUCAGAAAAAAUAUGAUCAUGUACGGGAUUUCAUAGGUAGACAGACAGGAUAGCAGUCUUACUACGGGUCCCGGCGACCUUAAGUCGAUCUGGAUCCUAGUGCCGGUGGCAGUUCGGUUUCCGGGCUGUUACAGAUUGGUAUCAGAGCCCUAGGUUCACAUGGUCGGACCUAUAGAGAGAGAGUUGGGCUCAUAGAGAGGGUAGCAGGUCAAGCAUCAUAGGAAAACAUGUCCACGAGGAUAGGAUGUUAGUCCUGUCUAUAUGCUGAUGUGCAAUGCCAUGAUUUAUACGUGCAGUGUCUGUGAUGUGUUGCUUAUGUGUUAUGUGAUUUGUUGUUUUUCCAGUGAGCUAAGAUGCGAGGAACUCGUCGAUCCGCGAGAUUGACUGGAGUCCCACCUGUAAGUGAGGGUACAGUUGCUCGUCCACCUGCAUUGCCAAGGGCAAGAGCUCACAGGUCAAGCAGGGAAGGAACGUCACGAGACCCUAGAAGGUCUUCUGACGAGAGCAGGCGAGGAGUAAGCAGAGGGGGAAGGUCAGUAGAAGAAAGAGGUGUGAUGGAAGAGGAUCAGAGUAGAGAUGUAAGCAUGGGUGUAGGAAGGUCAGAAGAAGGUAUGGGGGAGUCCCAUGGAGGUGCACAGGCCUCGGGGUUUGGUUAUCCACCCUUUCCUCAGGGCCCAGAGUAUCCGAUGGGAGGCACGUCGGAGUACUCCAGCUUUGCCCCAUAUCCACCCUACAUGCCCUAUAUGCCCUAUCCUUCCUUCUAUCCACCAUAUCACAUGUAUCCACCCCCACCUGGUUAUCCAAGUCCAGUACAGCCUGAAGUGAGGGAACCAGUUCCUCCACCACCACCACCUGAACCAGUAGCCCCUGUUGUCGAAGCACAGCAACCCAGUUCUUCAGGGGGAAGUAAGGUGAAGAUGACCGAGUACUUAAAGUUGGAUGCUCCUAAAUUCAAUCCAGGAGAUGAUCCCUUUGAGUAUCUCAGUGCAGUUAGAAUGAUAACAAGUGAGUUGGGAGCAGAUGACGGUAGAGCCAUUGAAAUGGCAGGGUUCACGUUAAAGUGCAAGAAAGCUAGAGAAUGGUUCAAGAAUUAUGUGGACCCGAGACUGGAGAGUAUGACAUGGGAAGAGUUCGCCAACGAAUUUGCUGGAUGGGCUUUUCCUGACAGUUCCAGGGAACUAAAGGUUGUGGAGUUUGAGCAGUUGCGACAGACGGAGGAGAUGAGAGUUGAUGAAUAUACAGAUAAGUUCCUGGAAUUGUUGCCAUAUGUCGGUCAGGCAUAUGAUACAGAUCAGAAGAAGGCAAAGAGAUAUGCCACAAGGCUUCAUCCCAGGUAUUUCUCUUUGAUUCUUCAUGCGGAGAAGGAAAGUUUCCACUCUAUUGUGGAUGCUGCUAGAAAGAUGGAGGCCAGUGCCAUAAGUCAAGGAGUAGUCAAGCAAGCAAAGGCACAGGCUUCUGGUCCGGCAAGUGCGAGUAAAAAGAGAUGGGAGAAAUUCAGAGGAAAGCGAGGCAAGUUCUGGAAUAGGCUUAAGUCGGGUCUGGGAAUGAGUAGUGGCUCCAGUUCUGGCGCAGAUUUUCCAGUGUGUCAGAGGUGUGGCAAACAGCAUAGAGGAGCUUGUCAGUUGGGAUCCACAGCCUGCUAUAGAUGUGGGCAGGAGGGACAUUAUGCACGAGAAUGUCCGCAGGCGACUUUAGUUGCACCAUCCCAGCAGAUGACCGCAGGUAGUGUUGUCCAGUCCGCAGCUUCAGUUCGACCACCAAGCAGUGGCCGAGGUAGAGGAAGAGGGGCAGCCUCUUCAUCAGGGAUGGGUUCCCGAGGUGCAGGUCCGUCAGCCCCAGCACGGAUUUUCACCCUGACUCAACAGGAGGCAGACACGUCGAACACGGUGGUGUCAGGUAAGCUCAUCAUUGGGUGUUCAGAGGUGUAUGCUUUAAUGGACCCCGGUGCUUCUCACUCUUUCAUUUCGUCUAGAGCUGCAGAGAGGUUGGGUCUGAUGGUGUCUGAGUUAGAGUGUCCUCUAUGGGUCAGUGGACCCAAAUGUGAUCCAUCUUUGGCAGAGUCAGUCUGUCGGUUCAGUCCAGUGUGCAUAGAGGGUAGAUACCUUCCAGCUGACCUGGUGGUUCUAGAGUUGACAGAUUUUGAUGUCAUUCUAGGGAUGGACUGGUUAUCUACGUAUGAUGCUACCCUGAACUGUAGAGACAAGGUAGUCAGUGUCAGAGACCAGGAUGGGUCAGCUUGUGUCUUCAGAGGAGACAGGAGAGGGACACCUAAGGGUUUGAUAUCAGCCCUCCAGGCUCGUAGGAUGUUAAGGAAGGGGUGUCAGGGGUUCCUAGCUUAUGUGAGAGAGCUAGACAGUCAGGUUAGGGAACCAUCCUCAGUACCAGUUGUGCGAGACUUCCCAGAUGUGUUUCCUGAAGAGCUUCCAGGACUACCACCGGAUAGGGAAAUCGAGUUCGCAAUUGAGUUGAUGCCCAGUGCCAGACCGAUCUCUAUUCCUCCCUACCGGAUGGCACCAGCAGAGUUGCGAGAGUUGAAAGAGCAGUUACAGGAUUUGGUAGCUAAGGGUUUCAUCCGCCCGAGUACCUCACCCUGGGGUGCUCCAGUAUUAUUUGUCAGAAAGAAGGAUGGACCUCUUAGACUUUGUGUUGACUACAGACAGUUGAACAAAGUCACUAUCAAAAAUAAGUAUCCUUUACCCAGGAUCGAUGAUCUAUUCGACCAGCUGGCAGGAGCAGGUUGUUUUUCGAAAAUAGAUCUGAGAUCCGGAUACCACCAGUUGAAGAUCAGAGAAGGAGAUGUAUCCAAGACUGCUUUCAGAACCAGAUAUGGGCAUUAUGAGUUCCUUGUGAUGCCGUUCGGGUUGACUAAUGCCCCUGCAGCAUUCAUGGAUCUCAUGAAUAGAGUUUUUAGGGAGUACUUGGAUCGUUUUGUGAUCGUCUUUAUUGAUGAUAUCUUGGUGUACUCCAGGAAUGUAGAAGAACAUGCCCAGCAUCUGCGUCUAGUGCUUCAAACCUUGAGAGAGCAUGGCUUGUAUGCCAAGUUCUCCAAGUGCGAAUUCUGGCUAAGGAGCAUUGCCUUUUUGGGACAUGUCGUAUCAGAGGAAGGAAUAACAGUAGAUCCCAAGAAGGUAGAGGCAGUAGCCAACUGGCCUAUACCCACUACAGUGACAGAGAUCAAGAGUUUUCUGGGUUUGGCAGGCUACUAUCGGAGGUUUGUUCAGGACUUCUCGAAGAUAGCUGCUCCUAUGACCAGACUGACCAGAAAGAAUCAGAAGUUUGUGUGGUCAGAAGAAUGUGAGGAGAGUUUUGAAGAGUUGAAGAGACGGUUGACUUCAGCACCGGUGUUAGCUCUGCCGAUCAGUGAGGAAGAUUUCACAGUGUUCUGUGAUGCAUCCCGAGUGGGAUUAGGUUGUGUGUUAAUGCAGAAGGACAGAGUGAUAGCUUAUGCUUCUAGACAGUUGAAGAAGCACGAGCUGAACUACCCGACACACGAUCUUNNNNNNNNNNNNNNNNNNNNNNNNNNNNNNNNNNNNNNNNNNNNNNNNNNNNNNNNNNNNNNNNNNNNNNNNNNNNNNNNNNNNNNNNNNNNNNNNNNNNNNNNNNNNNNNNNNNNNNNNNNNNNNNNNNNNNNNNNNNNNNNNNNNNNNNNNNNNNNNNNNNNNNNNNNNNNNNNNNNNNNNNNNNNNNNNNNNNNNNNNNNNNNNNNNNNNNNNNNNNNNNNNNNNNNNNNNNNNNNNNNNNNNNNNNNNNNNNNNNNNNNNNNNNNNNNNNNNNNNNNNNNNNNNNNNNNNNNNNNNNNNNNNNNNNNNNNNNNNNNNNNNNNNNNNNNNNNNNNNNNNNNNNNNNNNNNNNNNNNNNNNNNNNNNNNNNNNNNNNNNNNNNNNNNNNNNNNNNNNNNNNNNNNNNNNNNNNNNNNNNNNNNNNNNNNNNNNNNNNNNNNNNNNNNNNNNNNNNNNNNNNNNNNNNNNNNNNNNNNNNNNNNNNNNNNNNNNNNNNNNNNNNNNNNNNNNNNNNNNNNNNNNNNNNNNNNNNNNNNNNNNNNNNNNNNNNNNNNNNNNNNNNNNNNNNNNNNNNNNNNNNNNNNNNNNNNNNNNNNNNNNNNNNNNNNNNNNNNNNNNNNNNNNNNNNNNNNNNNNNNNNNNNNNNNNNNNNNNNNNNNNNNNNNNNNNNNNNNNNNNNNNNNNNNNNNNNNNNNNNNNNNNNNNNNNNNNNNNNNNNNNNNNNNNNNNNNNNNNNNNNCAGCAAUGAAGAGAGAAGUGGCACAGUUCGUGUCAGCCUGCGAGACAUGUCAAAGGGUGAAGCUAGAGCACCAGAAGCCGGCUGGAAUGCUUAACCCACUGCCAAUUCCAGAAUGGAAAUGGGAGAACAUAGCGAUGGAUUUUGUAGUGGGGUUACCGGCGACGUCUAACAGACUAGACUCCAUAUGGGUGAUUGUGGACAGACUCACUAAAUCUGCUCACUUCAUUCCAGUCAGGAGUAACUACUCUGUGGACAAGUUGGCGCAGGUGUAUGUAGACGAGAUAGUAAGGUUGCAUGGAGUGCCUGUGUCGAUAGUAUCAGAUCGAGGACCUCAGUUCACCUCCAGGUUUUGGCGGAGUCUGCAGAAUGAAAUGGGCACAAGGUUGGAUUUCAGUACUGCUUUCCAUCCACAGACAGACGGUCAGUCAGAGAGGACCAUCCAGACCAUCGAAGAUAUGCUGAGAAUGUGUGUGUUAGACUUUGGCGGUUCUUGGAGGCAGCAUCUACCUCUGGUGGAGUUUGCCUACAACAACAGCCAUCAUGCUAGCCUAGGGAUGGCCCCUUAUGAAGCUUUGUAUGGAAGGAAGUGCCGAACACCUGUUUGCUGGGAAGAGGUAGGAGAGAAAACUCUUGCAGGGCCAGAGUUAGUUGCAAUAACCAGCAAGGUAGUGCCUAUCAUCAGAGAGAGGAUCAGAACAGCUGUAAGCAGACAGAAAAGCUAUGCAGACCUCCGUAGGAAACAGAUAGAAUUCCAGGAGGGGGAGAUGGUGUUGCUCAAGGUGUCUCCGAUGAAGGGAGUGGUUCAGUUCGGUAAGAAGGGUAAACUAGCCCCACGGUACAUUGGUCCCUUUGAGAUCUUGCAGAAGAUCGGGCCUGUGUCGUAUAAGCUCGAUUUACCGGCUUCUAUGGAAAGAAUUCACCCGGUAUUCCAUGUUUCUAUGUUGAGAAAGUUUGUGUCAGAUCCAGAGAAGGUUCUUAAUGAACCUGAGGUUGAAAUCUUAAGUGAUCUCACCUAUGUAGAGCAGCCAGUGCGAAUCCUUGACACCCAGAUCAGAAAGCUGAGAAACAAGGAGAUACCAAUGGUGAAAGUUCUGUGGAACCACCACAACCUAGAAGAUUGCACCUGGGAGACUCGGGAGUCCAUGCUCCAGCAAUACCCAUAUCUGUUUUGAGGUUCGUUAGUGAGCUUUCCCUUUUUCUAUAUGUGAUUAUGUUGUGUUAGGGACAUUCGAGGACGAAUGUUCUUAAGGGGGGGAGAAUGUAAUACCCGGCUUGAGUCCGGCAUCGGAAUUCCUGUAGUCCGGUGGAAUCUCGGGUGUCGGAACCCUCGAGAAGGGUAAUACAGUUGUUUUCUGCGGUAUUUUUACUUGUUUUCAUGUUUUAAAGUGGUAAAAGCAUUGAGGUUUGAAAGAAAAGCAACAAGGGAGAAAUGCAAAGGUUCGGCCGCCGAAGGUCACUUUCGGCCGCCGAACAUUGCAUGGUUGCGGCUUCACGUUCGGCUGCCGAAGGUGGUCUGGCCAGCCACCUAUAANNNNNNNNNNNNNNNNNNNNNNNNNNNNNNNNNNNNNNNNNNNNNNNNNNNNNNNNNNNNNNNNNNNNNNNNNNNNNNNNNNNNNNNNNNNNNNNNNNNNNNNNNNNNNNNNNNNNNNNNNNNNNNNNNNNNNNNNNNNNNNNNNNNNNNNNNNNNNNNNNNNNNNNNNNNNNNNNNNNNNNNNNNNNNNNNNNNNNNNNNNNNNNNNNNNNNNNNNNNNNNNNNNNNNNNNNNNNNNNNNNNNNNNNNNNNNNNNNNNNNNNNNNNNNNNNNNNNNNNNNNNNNNNNNNNNNNNNNNNNNNNNNNNNNNNNNNNNNNNNNNNNNNNNNNNNNNNNNNNNNNNNNNNNNNNNNNNNNNNNNNNNNNNNNNNNNNNNNNNNNNNNNNNNNNNNNNNNNNNNNNNNNNNNNNNNNNNNNNNNNNNNNNNNNNNNNNNNNNNNNNNNNNNNNNNNNNNNNNNNNNNNNNNNNNNNNNNNNNNNNNNNNNNNNNNNNNNNNNNNNNNNNNNNNNNNNNNNNNNNNNNNNNNNNNNNNNNNNNNNNNNNNNNNNNNNNNNNNNNNNNNNNNNNNNNNNNNNNNNNNNNNNNNNNNNNNNNNNNNNNNNNNNNNNNNNNNNNNNNNNNNNNNNNNNNNNNNNNNNNNNNNNNNNNNNNNNNNNNNNNNNNNNNNNNNNNNNNNNNNNNNNNNNNNNNNNNNNNNNNNNNNNNNNNNNNNNNNNNNNNNNNNNNNNNNNNNNNNNNNNNNNNNNNNNNNNNNNNNNNNNNNNNNNNNNNNNNNNNNNNNNNNNNNNNNNNNNNNNNNNNNNNNNNNNNNNNNNNNNNNNNNNNNNNNNNNNNNNNNNNNNNNNNNNNNNNNNNNNNNNNNNNNNNNNNNNNNNNNNNNNNNNNNNNNNNNNNNNNNNNNNNNNNNNNNNNNNNNNNNNNNNNNNNNNNNNNNNNNNNNNNNNNNNNNNNNNNNNNNNNNNNNNNNNNNNNNNNNNNNNNNNNNNNNNNNNNNNNNNNNNNNNNNNNNNNNNNNNNNNNNNNNNNNNNNNNNNNNNNNNNNNNNNNNNNNNNNNNNNNNNNNNNNNNNNNNNNNNNNNNUGUAAUGUAAAGAGAUAGUGUAUAUGUACAGUGUAUAGACUGGUGCUUGACUUAUAAGAGUUGUAAUCCCUUUGUGUCGUUACAUGAUCAGUUUAUGUAUGUUUCUUUAUUGUUGUCUGUGUAUGAGCAAAACCAGGCUUAACAUUAUGAGUUUGAUCCGCCUAGAGCCAUGAGGAGCUCUAGUAGGGAUUGAUAGAGCACAGAGAGAGUGCAUGCACAUGUUAAGUCUGGAAAUGAAGGAAACUUUUAUGUUUUUCAGAAAAAAUAUGAUCAUGUACGGGAUUUCACAGGUAGACAGACAGGAUAGCAGUCUUACUACGGGUCCCGGCGACCUUAAGUCGAUCUGGAUCCUAGUGCCGGUGGCAGUUCGGUUUCCGGGCUGUUACAAGGUUUAGGUGAGGUUUUUGAAGAUCUUUGUGUAUAAGCAUGUUUAAGUGUUGCUUGAUAUGUUUGUUGAGGUUUUAGGAUAGUUUUGGACCUCUUUAUGCAUGAUAUAUGGUAGGUGCUAGUUGGGAGUAGUUGAUAUGCAUGUUGGGUAAGUUUUGGGAGAGUUUUGCAUGAAACAGAGCAGGGUUCUGCCCAAUGGGCAAAGCCAAGUUCGGCUGCCGAAAGAAGGUUCGGCCGCCGAAAGAAGGUUCGGCCGCCGAACCCCUUGUGGAGGCAGUUUCGGCUGCCAAAGCUUGCCUCCGAAAAUUUGAACUUUCGUCUCUCGAGGCAAGGUUCGGCCGCCGAAAGUGCCGCCGAAGGUUGAGUUUCGUCUCUGGACGAGACUUUUGGCUACCGAAGGUGCCGCCGAACAUGCAUGAGUUUCGUCUCUGGAGGGGGGUUUCGGCCGCCGAACCUGCCGCCGAAAGUGCCCUGUCCAGCCUUGUAAUACCCGGCUAGACUCCGGUAUCGGAAUUCCUACCGUCUGGUGGAAUUUGGAUGUCGAAAACCUCUAGAAGGGUAAAAUCAUGUUUUCAUAAAAUGUUUUCAUGUUUUUAAUGGUUUUAAAUAAAAAGGAAAUUGAGUUUUGAAUGAAAAGACCAUGGAGGCUUUUCCAGGUUCGGCAGCCGAAACUCAAAGUUCGGCCGCCGAACAUUUGAGAGUUUAGGAGGGAAGUUAGGCUUCCGAAAAUUGGCUCAGGUUCGGCCGCCGAACUUGCAUGAGUUUAGAGGGCACUUUAGGCCUCCGAAGGUGUCUGGCCAGCCCCUAUAUAAGAGCUCCAUGGCCGAAACGGGCGAGUUUUCUCCCCAUUUUCAGCCACGGUGAGUUCUUGCUCUCCCAUGGUUCGUUUUUGAUGUUUUUCCUCCAAUCUUUCACGUUUUAAUGAGUUUUAUGUCGAUUUGAAGGUUUUGAGCAUAUAGAGCAAGUUUUAGAACUUGGAGACCCAAGGAGCUAAAUCCCUCCCAACUCCAAGUUAGAUCGCCUCUACUCUCGAUGUUUAAGAGGUAAGAGUCGAUCUCUAGCCUAUAGUAUGUUUUAAAUAAGUUUUAUGCAAGUUCAUGGGGUAGAAAAUGCAUGUGUAAGCUUAUGAUGAGUUUAUGGGUUUUUGAUGAGUUUUUGAGCCAUGUGGCUUGAGUAUGUAUGUUUGAUGUGUUUUAGUUGGGGUUUAAGUUAGUUUGAAGCCCCUAGGAGCUUGUAUGCAUGUUUUGGUUGAGCUAAAUGCAUGAUGGUAUGAGUUGAGAGGCAUUUGUGCAUGUUUGAACCAAGUUUCUGCCCUUUGGGAGAAACCAGGUUCGGUAGCCGAAAGGACUUUCGGCCGCCGAACCCUCUUGUGGAGGCAGCAUUCGGCUGCCGAAGCCUGCCCCCGAAAGAGGACUUUCGUCUCUGUCUGGGAGGUUCGGCCGCCGAAGGUGCCCCCGAACAUGCAUGAUUUCGUCUCUGUCUGGGAGUUUCAGCCGCCGAACUUGCCUGACUUUCGGCUCUGGAGAGACUUUCGGCCGCCGAACCUGCCGCCGAAAGUGCCCUGUUCAGCCAUUUCUUGCAUGUUUUUCUAUGAUUGUUUCAGGAUAUUUUAGGGGGUUUUGGGGAGUAGUUUAGAGUUAUGUUUAUGUAUGUAUGGUCCCUCAUUUGAGUCCACCUGUGUAGGUUCGGACCCGAGGAACCGAGGACCCCAGCAGUGAGUCAGCUGCUCCAGUGUCUGGUCAGAGCUAGCCAGAGGUGAGUGGAAUAACUCCUUAUGUUUUAAAGCUAAUAAUGAAUGUUUUAGCAUGAUUCACGCAUCAUGAUAUGUUAGGGUGUUUGCAUUAGAAUUCACGAAUAUGUUGCAUUGCAUAAUAUAUUGUUGAUGUGGAUGAAUGUUGGAUGAUCCUUUAGUCCUCACCAUGAUAUGAGAUAUGAUGAUGAUAUGGUAUGAAAGACCAGUGAGGCCCAUUCUACGCCCCUGGCACGAUGUAAGAGAAAGACCAGUGAGGCCCAUUCUACGCCCCUGGCACAGUUGGACUGUUAUGUUAUGUUAUGCUAUGUAAGAGAAAGACCAGUGAGGCCCAUUCUACGCCCCUGGCACAGUUAGACUAUGUAGAGGGCUAUUGGUGACAAGUUCAUCCUUAUUCAUCCUUAAUGUGAAUUGUUUGUGAUGUGUAGCAUUCCAUGAAAGCAUGAAAUUUCUAAUAUGAUGUUUUAUUAUUCUGCUCACUGGGCUUUAUAGCUCACCCCUCUCCCCUAAGCCCCAGGUGUGCAGGUACAGGGUAGACUAGGAGGUCAGCAGGAGUAAAAGUCAGUUUUAUGUAAUAGUUAGAAGUUGUGGACAUGAUGAAUAUUGUAAUGUAAUGUCUGAUAUAGUAUUGUUAUGUAUUAAUGAUAUUGAGGAUUAGAGAGUGUGCUUGACCCUAUGUAUAUGGUUAUCCCUUUGUUACAUGAUCUAUAGAUUGUUUUUAUGAUGAUGUUCAUGAUAGUCCAAGCUUAAUGUAUGAUGAGAUACCCCAUUGGAGCAUUUGAUGAGGGCUCCAGUGGAGGUUUAUGUUUAUGCUUAUGAGUUUAUACAGGUUAAGCUUGGUUGAUGAAAGAAAAAAUUUCUACAGGUUUAUGUAUGUUGUUGAUCAUGUAUGGGAUUAAGCAGGUUCACAGGAUGCAUGUUAGGCUUGCUACGGGUCCCGGCGUCCUUAAGCCGAUCUGGAUCCUAGCGCCGGUAGUGGUCCGGUUGCUACGGGUCGUUACAGAGUGGUAUCAGAGCCCUAGGUUCAUAUGGUCGAACCUAGUGUGUCGAGCUCAUAGAGGUUAUAGAAGGUCAAGCACAAUAGGAAAGAUCAUGUCCACUAGGAUAGGAUGUUGAGUCCUGUCUUAUAUGAUUAUGCGAAAUGCCAUGAUUAUAUGCAUGUGCAUUAAUGCUAUGAUAUGUAUGCUAUGUAUGUGAUGCAGGUUCAUGUGUUUCCACAUGAACCAUAUGAUGCUGAUGUUCUAUGUGUUAUGUGCUGUUUUCAGAAAACAGGAUGAGAGGAACCCGUCGAUCUGCACGAUUGACUGGUGUACCACCCCAGAACGAGGGCACUGAUGCCCGUCCUCCAGCAUUACUUAGGGCAAUGUCAUGUAGAGCAAGCAGAGAAAGAGUGUCAAGGGACCCUAGAAGGUCUUUUGAUGCUAGCAGAAGGGGGACAGAUAGAGGAGGAAGUUCUUCAGAUGUGAGGGAGGUUAUGGAAGAGGAUCAGAGGAGGGAUGGGAAUCUGGAUGUCAGCAUGUCAGAAGAAGGGACAGGGGAGUCACAGGGAGGUGCUCAGGCCUCGGGGUAUGGUUUUCCACCCCAUUAUCCACCCUUUCCACAGGGUUCAGGGUAUCCGAUGGGGGCACAUCGGAUUACUCCAGCUUUCACCCCUACCCUACCUACAUGCCUUAUCCACCUUUCUAUCCACCUUACCCACAGUACCCAGCUUAUCCACCCUCACCCUUCUAUCCUAACCCAGCAAACCCCACCUCGGGGAAUGCUGCACCCCCACCUCCACCACCUACAGAACUAGCCACCCCAGUUGCUCAACCUCCUAGACCUAGCUCAGCCGGUGGGAGCAAAGUGAAGAUGACAGAUUACCUUAAGCUGGAUGCUCCCAAAUACAAAUCAGAGGAUGAUCCCUUUGAGUACCUGAGGGCAGUGAAGAUGAUCACUGAUGAGCUAGGAGCAGAUGACAGUAGGGCCAUCCAGAUGGCAGGGUUCACUUUAAAGUGCAAGAAGGCACGGGAAUGGUUCAAGUGUUAUGUGGACCCAAGACUAGACGGCAUGACAUGGGAGGAAUUUGCAAAUGAGUUUGCUGGAUGGGCCUUUCCAGACAGUUCCAGAGAACUGAAGAUGAUUGAAUUUGAGCAGCUGAGGCAGACAGAACAUAUGAGUGUAGAGGAGUACACGGAUAGAUUCUUGGAGCUAUUGCCUUUCUCAGGGCAAGCUCUAGAUACAGAUGCGAAGAAAGCCAAGAGAUACGUGAUGAAACUGCAUUCCAGGUACUCCUCAUUGAUUCAGUCAGUUGAGAGGGAAAGCUUCCACACUGUGGUUGACAUGGCUCGAAGGAUGGAGGCUAGUGCUAUCAUUGAGGGGUCAGUAAAGCAGCCAGUGACACAAUCUUCAGGGGUUAAGACCCCAGGCAGAGGAGGGCCAGGUCCCUCUUCUCAGAGUUCAAGCAGUAAGAGGUGGAGCACUACCACCAAGAAGCCAAAGAAGAACAAGUUCUAGAAUAAGUUGAAAUCCGGUCUAGGAUUAGGCGGUGGCUCGAGUUCAGGUUCAGAUGGUACAGAAUGCCUAAGGUGUGGGAGGCCACACAAGGGAGUGUGUCGGGCUGGGACUAAUGCAUGCUUCAGAUGUGGUCAGGAGGGACACAUGGCUCGGGAAUGUCCUAGAGCGCCUUUUAUGGGCCAGCCCCAGCAGACAGCUUCAGGUAGUGUGGCACAGCCAGCAGCUCCAGCCACAACUCAGGGCAGUGGCAGAGGUAGAAGGAGAGGGGCAGCUCUUCUUCUGGUUCCCGGGGUGAAGGUCCAUCAGCUCCAGCCAGGAUCUUCACCAUGACACAGCAGGAGGCUAACACAUCCAACACCGUGGUGUCAGGUAAUCUCAUCAUUGGGUGUUCUGAUGUGUAUGCAUUAAUGGACCCGGGUGCAUCUCAUUCUUUUAUUGCACCGAGAGCCGUCGAGAGGUUAGGUCUGAUGGUCUCUGGGUUAGAGUGUCCCCUAUGGGUCAGUGGACCCAAGUGUGACUCGUCAGUGGCAGAGUCAGUCUGCCAGUACAGUCCAGUUUUUGUUGAGGGAAGAUGCCUCUCCGCCGACCUUGUGGUUCUAGAUUUGACAGAUUUUGACGUCAUUCUAGGGAUGGAUUGGCUAUCUACCCAUGGUGCUACCUUGGACUGCAGAGACAAGGUAGUCAGGUUCAGAGAUCAGAACGGGUCAGAGGUCGUCUUCAGAGGAGACAAGAGGGGUACGUCUAGAGGUCUGAUAUCAGCCCUACAGGCUCGUAGGUUGCUUAGGAAGGGAUGUCAGGGGUAUGUGGCUCAUGUGAGAGAGCUAGAUAGACAGGUUAGGGAGCCAACCUCAGUGCCAGUCGUCAGAGGAUUUCAGGAUGUUUUCCCAGAGGAGCUUCCAGGACUACCACCUGCUAGGGAGAUAGAGUUUGAAAUUGAAUUAAUGCCUGGAACCAGACCGAUCUCUAUCCCUCCCUAUAGGAUGGCACCAGCAGAGUUGAAAGAGUUGAAAGAACAGUUGCAAGAUCUGGUAGAUAAGGGCUUCAUCCGACCGAGUACCUCACCUUGGGGUGCUUCAGUGCUUUUUGUGAGAAAGAAAGAUGGAUCCCUUAGACUUUGUAUCGACUACAGGCAGUUGAACAAGGUCACUACCAAGAAUAAGUACCCGUUACCAAGGAUCGACGAUCUAUUCGACCAGCUAGCAGGAGCAGGUUGUUUCUCCAAGAUAGAUCUGAGAUCAGGGUAUCAUCAGCUGAGGAUAAGGGAAGAGGAUGUACCAAAAACAGCGUUCAGGACCAGAUAUGGGCACUAUGAGUUCCUUGUAAUGCCGUUCGGGUUAACCAACGCCCCUGCAGCAUUCAUGGAUCUCAUGAACAGAGUGUUUAGCCAGUACCUGGAUCACUUUGUUAUUGUCUUCAUAGAUGAUAUCUUAGUGUAUUCCAGGAAUGCAGAGGAGCAUGCCCAUCAUCUGAGGAUAGUUCUACAGACCUUGAGGGAACAUGGCUUGUAUGCCAAGUUCUCCAAGUGUGAGUUCUGGCUGAGGAGCAUCUCUUUCUUGGGGCAUGUGGUGUCAGAAAAUGGAAUAGAGGUGGACCCCAAGAAAGUGGAAGCUGUAGCUAACUGGCCUAGACCCACUACAGUGACAGAGAUCAAGAGCUUCUUGGGUUUGGCUGGAUACUACAGGAGGUUCGUUCAGGACUUCUCCAAGAUUGCGGCUCCCAUGACCAGAUUAACUAAGAAGAAUCAGAGGUUUGUGUGGACCGACCAGUGUGAGGAAAGCUUUGAGGAGCUAAAGAAGAGGUUGACUUCAGCACCGGUGUUAGCUCUGCCGACUAGUAAUGAGGACUUCACAGUGUUUUGUGAUGCAUCCCGAGUGGGAUUGGGUUGUGUGUUGAUGCAAAAUGAUAGAGUGAUAGCUUAUGCUUCUAGACAGUUGAAGAAGCACGAGCUGAACUAUCCUACACACGAUCUUGAGAUGGCAGCAGUAAUCUUUGCACUCAAGAUGUGGAGGCACUACCUCUAUGGGGUAAAAUGUGAGAUCUUCACAGAUCAUAAGAGCCUGCAGUACAUCCUGAGUCAGAGAGAGCUGAAUCUGAGGCAGAGGAGGUGGGUUGAACUGCUUAGUGACUAUGAUUGCAAGAUACAGUACCAUCCGGGUAAGGCGAAUGUUGUGGCAGAUGCCUUAAGCCGAAAAUCACUUGGCAGUUUGUCCCACAUAUCAGCAGAGAGGAGGCCGGUGGUGAAGGAGUUUUACAAGCUCAUUAACGAAGGUCUACAGUUGGAGUUGUCUGGUACAGGUGCUUUGAUUGCCCAGAUGAGAGUGGCACCCGUGUUUCUGGAGCAGGUGGCUCAGAAAUAGCAUGAGGACCCAGAGUUAGUGAAGAUUGCUAGGACUGUUCAGUCAAGCAAAGACAGUGAGUUCAGAUUUGACAGUAAGGGGAUCCUCCGCUAUGGGAACCGUUUAUGUGUACCAUAUGACAUAGGGCUAAAGGGAGACAUUAUGAGAGAGGCUCAUAAUGCAAGAUACAUCGUUCACCCCGGAGCCACCAAGAUGUAUCAAGAUUUGAAGAAAGUUUAUUGGUGGCCAGCCAUGAAGAGAGAAGUGGCACAGUUCGUGUCAGCCUGCGAAGUGUGUCAGAGGGUGAAGCUAGAACAUCAGAAGCCGGCUGGAAUGUUGAACCCACUGCCGAUUCCAGAGUGGAAAUGGGAGAAUAUCGCUAUGGACUUCGUAGUGGGGUUACCGGCGACGUCCAACAGAUUGGACUCCAUAUGGGUGAUUGUGGAUAGACUCACCAAAUCUGCUCACUUCAUCCCUGUCAGGAGUGGCUAUUCUGUGGACAAGUUGGCGCAGGUGUAUGUGGAUGAGGUUGUCAGGCUGUAUGGGAUUCCUGUUUCUAUAGUGUCUGAUAGAGGGCCCCAGUUCACCUCCAGGUUUUGGCGGAGUCUGCAGGAUGCUAUGGGUACCAGGCUAGACUUCAGCACUGCUUUCCAUCCUUAGACUGAUGGACAGUCAGAGAGGACCAUCCAGACUAUAGAAGAUAUGCUUAGAAUGUGUGUGCUAGAUUUUGGCGGUUCUUGGAGGCAGCAUCUACCUCUGGUGGAGUUUGCCUACAAUAACAGCUAUCAUGCUAGCAUCGGGAUGGCUCCAUAUGAAGCUUUGUAUGGAAGGAAGUGCAGGUCACCCGUCUGUUGGGAAGAAGUAGGAGAAAGGUCCUUGACAGGACCCGAGCUAGUAGAGAUUACCAGCAGGGUGGUGCCCAUGAUCAGAGAAAGGAUUAGAACGGCCAUGAGUCGUCAGAAGAGCUAUGCAGACAUCCGCAGAAGGCAAGUAGAGUUCCAGGAGGGGGAUUUGGUAUUGCUCAAGGUGUCUCCAAUGAAAGGGGUGAUUCGGUUCGGGAAGAAAGGUAAGCUAGCCCCACGGUACAUCGAACCCUUCGAAAUCUUGCAAAAGAUUGGGAAUGUAUCGUACAAGCUGGACUUGCCUGCUUCAAUGGAAUGAAUCCAUCCGGUUUUCCAUGUUUCCAUGUUGAAGAAGUUCGUGUCCGAUCCGGGCAAGGUUCUUAGUGAGCCUGAUGUGGAGAUCCAAGGGGAUCUCACCUAUGUUGAGCAGCCAGUACGGAUCCUAGACACCCAGAUCAGAAAGCUAAGGAACAAGGAAAUCCCGAUGGUAAAAGUCCUUUGGAAUCACCACAACAUCGAAGAGUGCACCUGGGAGACACGGGAGUCCAUGCUCCAGCAAUAUCCCCAUCUCUUUUAAGGUUAGUACCUAUGUGUUUUAUGUGUUGUAUGCUAUGCAUGUGCUAGUUGAGGAACAUUCGGGGAUGAAUGUUCUUAAGGGGGGAGAAUGUAAUACCCGGCUAGACUCCGGUAUCGGAAUUCCUACCGUCCGGUGGAAUUUGGAUGUCGGAAACCUCUAGAAGGGUAAAAUCAUGUUUUCAUAAAAUGUUUUCAUAUUUUUAAUGGUUUUAAAUAAAAAGGAAAUUGAGUUUUGAAUGAAAAGACCAUGGAGGCUUUUCCAGGUUCGGCCGCCGAAACUCAAAGUUCUGCCGCCGAACAUUUGAGAGUUUAGGAGGGAAGUUAGGCUUCCGAAAAUUGGCUCAGGUUCGGCCGCCGAACUUGCAUGAGUUUAGGGGGGCACUUUAGGCCUCCGAAGAUGGUCUGGCCAGCCCCUAUAUAAGAGCUCCAUGGCCGAAACGGGCGAGUUUUCUCCCCAUUUUCGGCCACGGUGAGUUCUUGCUCUCCCAUGGUUCGUUUUUGACAUUUUUCCUCCAAUCUUUCACGUUUUAAUGAGUUUUAUGUCGAUUUGAAGGUUUUGAGCAUAUAGAGCAAGUUUUAGAACUUGGAGACCCAAGGAGCUAAAUCUCUCCCAACUCCAAGUUAGAUCGCCUCUACUCUCGAUCUUCAAGAGGUAAGAGUCGAUCUCUAGUCUAUAGUAUGUUUUAAACAAGUUUUAUGCAAGUUCAUGGGGUAGAAAAUGCAUGUGUAAGCUUAUGAUGAGUUUAUGGGUUUUUGAUGAGUUUUUGAGCAAUGUGGCUUGAGUAUGUAUGUUUGAUGUGUUGUAGUUGGGGUUUAAGUUAGUUUGAAGCCCCUAGGAGCUUGUAUGCAUGUUUUGGUUGAGCUAAAUGCAUGAUGGUAUGAGUUGAGAGGUAUUUGUGCAUGUUUGAACCAAGUUUCUGCCCUUUGGGAGAAACCAGGUUCGGCAGCCGAAAGGACUUUCGGCUGCCGAACCCUCUUGUGGAGGCAGCAUUCGGCUGCCGAAGCCUGCCCCCGAAAGAGGACUUUCGUCUUUGUCUGGGAGGUUCGGCCGCCGAAGGUGCCCCCGAACAUGCAUGAGUUUCGUCUCUGUCUGGGAGUUUCGGCCGCCGAAGGUGCAGCCGAACCUACCUGACUUUCGGCUCUGGAGGGACUUUCGGCCGCCAAACCUGCCGCCGAAAGUGCCCUGUUCAGCCAUUUCUUGCAUGUUUUUCUAUGAUUAUUUCAGGAUAUUUUAGGGGGUUUUGGGGAGUAGUUUAGAGUUAUGUUUAUGUAUGUAUGGUCCCUCAUUUGAGUCCACCUGUGUAGGUUCGGACCCUAGGAACCGAGGACCCCAGCAGUGAGUCAGCUGCUCCAGUGUCUGGUCAGAGCUAGCCAGAGGUGAGUGGAAUAACUCCUUAUGUUUUAAAGCUAAUAAUGAAUGUUUUAGCAUGAUUCACGCAUCAUGAUAUGUUAGGGUGUUUGCAUUAGAAUUCACGAAUAUGUUGCAUUGCAUAAUAUAUUGUUGAUGUGGAUGAAUGUUGGAUGAUCCUUUAGUCCUCACCAUGAUAUGAGAUAUGAUGAUGAUAUGGUAUGAAAGACCAAUGAGGCCCAUUCUACGCCCCUGGCACGAUGUAAGAGAAAGACCAGUGAGGCCCAUUCUACGCCCCUGGCACAGUUGGACUGUUAUGUUAUGUUAUGCUAUGUAAGAAAAAGACCAGUGAGGCCCAUUCUACGCCCCUGGCACAGUUGGACUAUGUAGAGGGCUAUUCGUGACAAGUUCAUCCUUGAUGUGAAUUGUUUGUGAUGUGCAGCAUUCCAUGAAAGCAUGAAAUUUCUAAUAUGAUGUUUUAUUAUUCUGCUCACUGGGCUUUAUAGCUCACCCCUCUCCCCUAACCCCCAGGUGUGCAGGUACAGGGUAGACCAGGAGGUCAGCAGGAGUAAAAGUCAGUUUUAUGUAAUAGUUAGAAGUUGUGGACAUGAUGAAUAUUGUAAUGUAAUGUCUGGUAUAGUAUUGUUAUGUAUUAAUGAUAUUGAGGAUUAGAGAGUGCGCUUGACCCUAUGUAUAUGGUUAUCCCUUUGUUACAUGAUCUAUAGAUUGUUUUUAUGAUGAUGUUCAUGAUAGUCCAAGCUUAAUGUAUGAUGAGAUACCCCAUUGGAUCAUUUGAUGAGGGCUCCAGUGGAGGUUUAUGUUUAUGCUUAUGAGUUUAUACAGGUUAAGCUUGGUUGAUGAAAGAAAAAAUUUCUACAGGUUUAUGUAUGUUGUUGAUCAUGUAUGGGAUUAAGCAGGUUCACAGGAUGCAUGUUAGGCUUGCUACGGGUCCCGGCGGCCUUAAGCCGAUCUGGAUCCUAGCGCCGGUAGCGGUCCGGUUGCUACGGGUCGUUACAAGCCUUCUUUUGCAUGUUUUAUGUGAUUGCUUUAGGAUCUUUUAGAGGGCUUUUAGGGGAGUUUUUAGAGAUGUUCUUGAGUUAGUCCGGUCCCUCAUUUGAGUCCACCUGUGUAGGAACGGACCAGAGGAAUCAGGGAGGUCAGCAGUGAGCACUGUUUCAGAACCUGCAGAGUUAGUACAGAGUUAGCCAGAGGUGAGUGGAACUGAACUUAAAUUCAUUUUAAUAUGAGAAAGUAAAUGUUUUUGGCAUGUGGCAUGCAUCAUGAUAUGCAAUAGGGUGAUUGCAUUAGAACUCACUAAGAUGUGCAUUGCAUAAUUGGUUGUAUUUGCGGACGGACACAGAGUUGAUUCAUUAGCCCUUCUCUUUAUCAAGUCCUGAGGAGCCCCUUUGAGGGCCGGGCAUUAUCAAGACCUGAGGAGCCCCUUGAGGGCCGGGCAUUGCAUGUUUAUCAAGUCCUGAGGAGCCCGAAGGGCCGGGCACUGCAUGAUUUAUAAAGACCUGAGGAGCUCCCUUGCGGGCCGGGCACAGAGAAGGGAGUUUUGUUUCAGUCCGUUCGGAAGGUGAUUACUUGUGAUGUGAUGCAUUUCAUGAGAUCAUGUUUUAUUCAUAGGUCUUACAUGUUCUACUCACUGGGCUAGUAUAGCUCAUCCCUCUCCCUUAACCCCAGUUUUGCAGGUUCAGAGUUCAAAGGGAAGUCAGCAGGGUACAGGAAGAGUAUAGAGUUUUGUAAUAGCUAGUGUGGACAUGUAAUUGUAAAGAGAUAGUGUAUGUUGUACAGUGUAUAGCAUUGUGCUUGACUUAUAAGAGUUGUAAUCCCUUUUGUAUAUACAUAGUCUGUUCAUGAAAAUGAUUUUUAUUGUAUAUGUAUGAAAAACCAAGCUUAACAGGAGAUGACCCGCCUAGAGCAAGGAUGAGAGCUCUAGCAGGGGUUUUAUAGUACAGAGAUAAAGUAUGCACAGGUUGAGCCUUGGAACAGAGAACAGUUUUAACUUUUACAGAAAAUGUAUGAUCAUGUAUGGGAUUUCACAGGUACACAGAGUUCACAGCAGGCUUGCUACGAGUCCCGGCGGCCUUAAGCCGAUCUGGAUCCUAGCGCCGGUAGCAGUUCGGUUUCCGAGCUGUUACACCCUUUGUGCAAUGUUCUAUACAGGCCAAAGUUAUUAGGAUGGUUAUCCACCUGGUCCGUAAUACUGUCGGCCUACGAUAUCAAGUAUGUUCCAAGAAACGUCAUGAAAGCCCAUGUGUUAGCUGAUUUUAUUUUAGAGAUGACUCCGCCGUUAGAACCUUUAGGGUCCUCGGAGGAAAGCACAGAGGAAUGGAAAGUCUGGAUAGAUGGAGCUUGUGGAGCAAGGGAUUUAGGAAUCGAGAUCCUAUUGCAAUCUUAGACAAUAAUAAAGUUUCGAUAUGCGGCCAAUCUCACCUUUAAGGCCACCAACAAUAUAGCUGAAUAUGUGGCCAUAAUAAUGGCCUUAAGAAUCAUCAAGCAAAGGUAUACCAAAGUCCAUUAUUUUUAGUAACUCACAAUUGGUUGUUAAUCAAUACUAGGAACAAUUUAGAGUUCGAGAACAUAAUCUUAUCAGAUACAAGGAGAAGGUUCGGUCCUUAAUGGGCAGGAUCAAAGAUGGGCGAGGCAGCUGCGAACUUUGCCAGGUAAACAGAGGCAACAAUGAAAAGACGAAACUUUAAAUCAAUUAGAUCAUACAAUCAAUUGAAUUGAAACUUUAAUUAUCCUUCAAUUGAAAAAGAAGAAUUUAGCCACAAAUGUUCAUGGUUUAAAAACAGCAAGAAGAAGAGUGUUUUUAGCCUUCUAAAAUUAAUUCAGAGCAAAAAGUGAUGUUGUACAUCAAAAUAUCAUCUUUAUAUAGUACUAAAAAUUCUAAUUCAACCUAAAUACGAGUGACCAAAAUAAGAUUGGAAGGUUUUCCCCAAAAGAGUAGAGUUUGAUAUGUAUUGACAAAUGAGGAUUUUCUAAUCGGGUAUCAUAUUUGGAACUGGACUCUGAUUUUUCUCUUCAAAUAUGUUAUGCCACUAAUAUCGUCCAUAACACAGUACGUAUAAGAGUUAUGCUUCCUUAUUCUCUUGUGAAUUUAGUUAUGCCCACAACUUUUUUUAAUUUCAGAAUGUAGAGUCCAAACACAAGUUUUCUCUUGUUAUUAUUCAAUCCAUAUUUAUCCUAUCAAUGUAUCAAAACUCAAAUAAAUUAAUCUAUUUUAAGUAGAAUCAAACUCAAAAUCUAAGUGUUUUAGAAUAUUAAAACUACACAAAUAUGCAGAUUAUGAUCAAACAAAUCAUCUAGUAAAUGCAUCGUUGAGAUAUUUGGAUGAGUUUCUGAAUAGUCUGCCAAAUGCAUGUCCAAUACAAUCACGAAUGAUCAAAUUAACAUGGAAUGGAAAAGACCUGCUAGAGAAAUAGUCAAAAUCAAUUUUGAUGGGGUAGUGAAUAGCACGGAAAAUAGAGGGUCAAUUGCAGUGAUCGUCCGAAACGAGGAAGGAACAAUCUUAGCUGAAGGUGCAAGAGAAUGAUAAAGAUAACUGACCUUUUAACUCUAGAAGCAAUAGCAGCAAGAGAGGCAGCUAAUGUAGCAGCUAACUAUAAGAUCAUAAGAGUUUAUAUUGAAGGAGAUUUCAUGGAAGUUGUUCAAUCCUUAAAAAGAGUUAAGCCUAGUCCAACGAUCAAAGGAAUAAUAACAUACUCUGAUUUUCUUAUGGCAAAGUCAUGUCAAUAUGAAAAAGAACAAAGCAGUUCAUUGUAAAGCAAAAAAGACACUAAUCUAUAAUUCUUUUUUCUGUAAUUCUUUAACGCAAUUAAUUUUAUACUUUUCAUUUUAUUCGUUAAAGGGCCAAUUAUUUUCUUGUUCCUUUUCCCAUUCGCCCCAUUGAAUUCACCCUUUAUUUUCUUUUUGUCAAUUCUGCAUUCAAUCAAACAUAAUAAUAUCUUUAAUCCUUUAAAAUAUCAAUUUAAACCUAUAAUUUUGAAUACAUGCUUCUGAAAAAUAAUAUAAUUUUAUUGUACUGUCACAAGCAAUUGAACGGAGAAAUUUGUAGAUAAUUAAAAAUAAUUUAGAUUGUGAAUCAAUAUUAAAUUAAAAAUACUUUAAGUUUGCAAAGAGAAAAGAAAAAAAAAUAUAAUGGGUGAAUUAAUUGUGAAAAUGAAAAGAAAAAAGGCAAAAAAUACAGAAUGUCCAGAGGUGGAGAGUACAAAAUCCAGAAAUAACAGCAAGUCGCUCUUCGUAAGAGCAGAGAUGAGGAUGCAUUCUGGGCUUUUGAGAUUCAAACCUGACAAUCUGUUCAUAAAACAUAGCCGGGAUCAAUUCCAUCCAAAUCUGCAGAAGUUCUGAGCUCACUUUCUACCAUUUUCCUGUUGAUGACAAACUGAAAUCAGCAUUUAGCAUAAGUUUCAAGACAGCCCAUUGGAACCCAUUUAUGCAUUUCAAUAGAAGAGCUAGGAAGCCACAGCUUUUAAUACCUAUCACGAUUACAAGAACAUUGAUGGUUAGAUUAUUUUAUCCGAUAUUCCAGGAAACUGUAAGAGUUGACAAUAGUUUUAUCACAAAUCAUACAGAACGACAAUUCGUAUAAUGGAAAAUUUAAACAAAAAGAAAAAAGUUGAACAACAGAGGAGUUUAGAGAACUAAAAAUGAAAAAUUCCCCAAAAACUUAAAAAUUGUUAUGAUAUUAGAAAACAACAGAAAUGAAUUGAAAGCAAUCCUCACAUUUGUUGGAGUACUGUGAAGUCUUGUUUAAUUGCGUAUAACAACGCGGGGGAUAUGAGAAAUGAUAGGCCAGUAGUCUCCCCCUUUUUCUUUUAAGCAACGAUCCCGAAGCAGAGGGCAGUUGUCAAUACAUAGGCAUUCAAGUGUAGCAGGGAAGCCCUCAGCUGGGAAGGACUGCAGUUUUGGGCACCUCCAAAUUUCUAAUUUUUCAAGAGAGAUGAGCUUUUGGAUACCCAUGGAUAUGGAUUUUAGAUUCUUGAAUCCAGCAAUGAAGAGGUGGGUAAGAGAAGUGGGAAGCAGAAAGCCGUCAUCAUCUGGGAAGGAAAUAAUAUCUCCACUUGACUUCAUGCUGCCAAUGCCCAAUUUUCUGAGAGAGGUGAGCCCGUGGAGUCCCCACUCUAGCAUUGGCUGUUUCAGAUUCAAGCAUGCACCCAUGGAAAGCAUAGUUAGGUUUGGAGGCAAACAUUCUAUUGAGCACUCUAUAGCUGCUCCACAAUCUGACAUAUUUAUAGAUUGAAGGGAAGUGAGGCUUUGCAUCUGAUUCGGCAGAGACUUCAAAUUUUUGCACCGAUGAACUUCGAAAGAGACAAGCUUGGGAUUGCGCAAUCCCAUCUCUGGGAACAACUCUAAUCGAGGACAGUUGCCUAUUUCUAACUGUUGCAGACUCUGGAGGUCCUGCAUGUGAUUGGAUAGAGACCUCAAUCCUUCACAGCCAGCGAUUUUUAAAGAGAUAAGAGAAGGGAUGGGCAAUUCCUUCCCAGGAAAGGAUUCUAAUUGAGGACAGUUCCAUAUUUGCAAAUCUGUAAGAUGAGAAAGCCCAUAAUAUAGCGAGUUUAAUAAUUGUGUCGUCCAGUUGUGGAUUUCCAAGGUCUUCAGGAAAUCAGGAAACUUUCCAUUUGAAGAGGACCCCAGAGAUUUACAUCCAGAGAUACGCAACUUCCCGAGAUGAGACGUGUCGCUGCUGUAUUUACUGUGGGACACAAUCCCCUCCGGAAGAGACUCCAAAGCUCCACAGUUUUGCAGACUAAGACAUAUCAAGUUGUGCGGCAAACCCCCUGCAGGGAAGGAAACUAAACUUCUACAUUGGCUUAUUCUCAAAUCUUUGAGAGAUUUGAGGUCUUUCAGUCCACUUGGCAACUCCUUCAGAUUUGGACACUGAUCUACCUCCAAAACUUCAAGACUGCAUGGCAAUAGCUCUUCUUCUCCAUCUACCAAUGAUGCAAGAUCAAGACAUUCUAUAAUUUGCAAACUAGUAAGAGAGGUGGCAUUAGUCACACUCUUGAGAAUUGCCUCUUGACAUCUUCUAAUAGAGAGUGCUGCAAGUGAUGGGAGAACUUUUGGUAAUUCAACCAAGCGCGGGCAAUUAUUAAUAACAAGUUUUUCGAGGGAAGGAAGGAAGUUGGGCAAUUUUCCAGCCAACUUGGGACAAUUAUGGAGUCGAAGUUCAUGCAGCUUAGGAAAUUUUACCACAGAAUCUUCGCCCAGACCAUUUGACCAAGCCCACUGCUCCCACUUACCCAUAUUAACAAUCUCUAGCAUUUCCAAACAAGAAAAAAAUGAAUCAUCCUCAUAAAACUCAACACCCACUUCUUUUACUCUACUUAAACCUUUUAUGCUCAACUUUUUUAAUGACUUUAAUCGUCCGAGUGGUGGCAGUGAAGUAAUUUGAUGACAGUUGCUUAGCUCCAACUGCACCAUGCUAGAGAAUGAAGGCUCACCUAGCCACGAUGGGAAUUUCCUACCACUAAAUGAUUUAAUUGAUAGGCUUGACAGACUAUGAUGUGGCUGCAUUGAGUUGAGAACUUGUUCUUCAUGACUUGGGUUUCUCAAAUCAUAAGAAAAUUCAUCAGUCCAUUUCAAGUGUAACUCGGUGAUACCAGGCUUAUCCUUCAAAUUGGCAAAACCCGCAUCUCGAAUAUCUUCAACUUCCACAUUCUCUAAACUUGUAAUAUGAAUCUGCCCCCGCAGAUCACAAAGUUUCUUCAGCUCUGUGAUCCGUCCAUUGCUUUUCCCCACGAUAAAUUUGGUCAACACGCAGAGACUAGUCAAAUUACCAAUAUGUGGUGGCAUCUCUUUCAAUUUCCUUGUGCCAAUAAUGUCAAGAUGCUGCAAGUUGAGUAAAUUGCAUAUGCCUUUAGGCAACUCAAUAAGCUCAUAACAAUGAUGCAACUUUAAUGUCUGUAAGUUGGAGAGUUUAUCCACUGAUUCAGGCAACCCUUUGAUUAAAGUAAUAGACAGGUUGAGGUAGCGCAAGUGCUUCAAGUCACCAAUAGAAUCCGGCAACUCCUCAAUCACAAGGUGAGUUAGAGAUAGCGACCUUAAGCAUUUUAAUUUUGGCACCAACUCAUGCACCACCUUACUAGUUAAGUAGCAUCUCCCCACAUAACGACUCCAGGAUAACAAUGUCCGCAAGUUCUUCAUUUCAUAGAAGCUUUGAAAUCUUUGAAAAGUGUUCAUAAAAUGAGGAAUAAAUGAAGAAUGUCUAAUCUUUGCAUAUGAUUUUGCAUUCUGCAACUUACCAACCAUAUGCAAACAUACUUCUCUGCUAACAAAGCAAGCUAAAUCAACAAUUAGGUCAUGCAUUAUAUAUUUUGAUUUAUUAUCAUUUGAUUGUUGAAAAAACGAUCUUGAUAAUAAAUCAUCAAAAUAAUUUUGACCCAAACCUUCACUAUCCUUCAUUUUCUUCUUGUCAUACAAGAAACCCUCAGCCAUCCACAGCAAAACCAAUUCAUUCCUAUCAAACUCGCGAUCCUUUGGUAGUAUUGCGCAAUAAGAGAAACAUCGCUUUAACUGAGGUGGAAGAUGAAAAUAGCUCAACUUCAAGGCUGGAAGGAUAUUGUUCCUAUUGUCUGGUAAUUCCCACAUCUCACUGCUCAACACUUCCUUCCACAAAUCAGGAUUUGGUUUACCCUUUAAGAUGCCUCCAAGAGCUUUUGCUGCCAAAGGUAAUCCUCCACAUCUUUUGACAAUCUCCUCACCUAUUUCUUUUAGCUCCAAAUGGUCGUCAAAAUUAUUUGCUCCCAGAGCAUGCUGGGCAAACACAGACAUACAUUCAUUGUGUGAGAGCUUCUUAAGAGAAUAUGCUGGAGUGGCACCCAUCAUUAGUGAAACAUCUUGACUUCGAGUUGUGACGAUAACUCUGCUUUGAGCUGCCCCUGCUUCAAAAGGACCCCAAAACAGAGUCCAUUGCUCAUAGUUCUGGGUCCAAACAUCAUCUAGGACAACUAAAAACUUCUUCCAAGACAACUUUUGCUUCAAUUUUACCUGAAGCAAAUUUAAAUCAUUGUCAUCACCACCAUCUCCCAAUUGAUGAAGAACUGUUUUCGUGACCCUGAAAACAUCAAAAUCUUCACCAACAGACACCCAAGCUUUCAAAUCAAACUCCAACAUGGGAUCAUUGUAGACUAGCUGAGCUAGAGUUGUCUUGCCAAGGCCUCCCAUUCCAACUAUGGAAAUCACAGACACCUGGGUAUCACUUGUCUCAGCAUUCAACAAUUUCAACAUCGCCUCCUUAUCUUCCUCCCUACCAUAAACCUUGGCUUCGUUAACCAAAGAGGUUGAGGGUGGUCUUUCUGUCACAUGGCUGACCCUCCUAUUAGACUCAGCUAAAUGGAGUUCAUCUUUCUGCUUUAUGAUCUCAUCUAAUCUAGCACUAGUUUCCUCUAUUUUGGCAACCAUCCCAGCAUUGAACUUAAUAGUAUUUAAAUUUAGAUUACCACACAUAGCAGAGAGAAGCUUGUGCACCUUAUCAUUUGGACGAACAGGCUUGUCUACCAACUUGCGUCGUUGAACCUCCGUGGCAAGUUCAUCCAUUAUAUCCUCGAGGUCGUGAGCCAAGUCUCUGAGAUCGCUUAGCCAGAUCUCCACCGAUUGGUCUGCCGUCUGCUUCUCCUCUGCAUCUUCAAGCACUACAUAAAUUCGCUGGAGCAUCUUUUCCCACUUCUUGAGUUGAGCCAAGACUUGACCUUGGCCUACGUAUUUCUUUAAGUCAAUGGAACUCAACCUGUCGAAAAGCCCCUGAAAGCAAACAGAGAGGAUAGAGCCUCCAACAGCAGUCGCAAUUUCCAUGGCAAAGAGUGAGUUGUGAGAGCAGAAAGAAACUAUGAAAUCUCAAGAUUCAAGGGAAGAGUUUGUAAACACAUAGCAUUGGAAGGAGAAAGGAAAGAAAAAAAAAGGGAAAUGCAAGGCUUCUCUGAUGCUCUAUUGGUGUCCCGCCAAAAUAUUUUUUAAUAUUUAAUAAAAUUUAAUAUUUUUAAUAUAAAUAUAAUUAAAAAAUUAAUAAAAAAUUGUCUCUUUUAAUAAACUAAAAUAUCAAUUUAUUUGGAGUUUAAAUAUAUUUUAAUUAAAUUUGUCUUUCUAUUUAGUUUUUGCCUUUCAAUUUUAAUUGCACUAAAAAAUUUUUAUAAUGCUAAAUUAGACAAAUGGUAUAUUUAUAAAUUAUAUAUUAUAAGAAUAAAGAUUAUACUUUAUUUUUAUUUUAAAUGAGAUAUGUUAUAAUUUAAAAAAAAAUAGAUUCAAAAUUUUUAGUAGUUUUUUUGUUUUUAAUAAGUUUGUAUAAAAAUUAAUUUUAAAGGAAAAAAUAAUUUUUUAUUUUAUUUUUUAUAAAAAAUGUGUAAUGUUACGUCACAUAUUAAAGUCAUUAUUUUGAUUUUUCAGUUUUAUAAGGUGAAUGGAACUUUUCAUAUUUUUUUUAUUUUUUAAAUCAAUUUUAAUGUAAAUCAAUUUAAAAAUGAAAAAUUAGUUUAUUUUAUUAAAUAUAUAUUUAAUAUUACAGAAUUGAAAUCUUUUAGGAAUUGAUACUCCCACUUUAUACAAAACCAGCUGUUUCUUUCGUUAUGUUCUUGAGAGCUUAGAGAAUUAUAUGUACGAGAAAGAUAACCCUAAACACGUGAUUAGAGCUUAACAGAAAAUAAAUAAAUAAAAUUCUAAACACGUUAUUAGAGUUUAACAGAAAAUAAAUAAAUAAAACACAAAAUAAAGUAAUAAAAUGAAUAUUUUCUGAUUUAUAGAAAAAUAGAAUUUAUAAUGAUUGAGUAAGUUUAGACUGAGGGGAAGGUGUUUCUCUUUUUUUAUUUUUUUUUUAUCACUGACGUUUAACGACCUUUCUGCUACAGGAACGUCUAUUUUUAUCGUUCAGUUUCGUACGUACAGUGAUGUCAGUUCCCCUUACUCAUACCAGGCGGCCAUUUAAUUACUCUCAGAACGUAUGCAAGAAGAAUUGCGAAAAGACCGAACCUGUUACCCAUUCUUGAGUCCCAUCACGGGGCUAGUUUCAACAACAGGUUAUAGGCUCAAAGAUGGCCCAAAUUGACUGAUGUCUUCAGGUCUGAUCCAUUGCUGCGGGCAGACUUUCUUUAAGUCACUCUAGGCUUUGAGCCGACUUAAGCUAUCAUGGAUCUGGCCCGACCUCGGAGGAGAAGAGAUUCGGCGGUUAUCAUAUUAUAAUCUUUACACAUUUGGACUUGCAAUACGAUAGCUUUUGAAAUUAGAAGCUUACGCUCACUAUAAUAUUAAUAUUAUAUUAUUAUAUUAAUUUAUUAAAAUAAUAAAAAAUUUUAUUAUUAAAUAAAUAUAUAUAAUAUUAUUAAAUUAUUUUUAUAUAUUUAAUUAUAAUUAAAUUAUUUUUAUAUAUCUAAUCCGAAUAUAAUAUUAAUUUUAUAAUUUUAAAAUUAUAUAAUAUCAAUAAUUUUUAUUUAAAUAUUAAUAAUAAAAUUUAUUAAAAUAUUAAUAUAUUAAAAUUAUAAAAAAUAUUUAUUAUUAUAUAAAUAUAAUAUAAAUAAUAUUAUUAAAUUAAUAUAAUAUAAGUAUAUUAUUAUAAUAUAUUAAUAAUUAAAAAAAUAAAACUGUUAAGUGGUGUAUACAAUAAUUUUAAAAAAAUAAAAAAUAAAAUAAAUAAUAGUCUCGCGCUGUUAAACUAUUAUUUUUUCUAAAAAAGAAAAUCUUAGCAUUUUUAUAAAAUGUGUCCGAAAAGGCAGUUGGAAUCAUGUUUACCAUACAGAUCAAAUUCAAAUCCAUAGAUAUUUUGUUUUCAAUCUGCCAAUUUUUUUGUUAUUUUGAACCUAAAUCCACAAAAACCCCUCUAUACCUCAACAAUCUGACACAGAGAUAGAUUGAAGGGAAAUGAGGCUUUGCAUCUGAUUGAGUAGAGACCUCAAAUUUUUGCACCGGAAAAUUUAAAAUGACACAAACUUGGGGUUGGGCAAUCCCAUCUCUGGGAACAACUCUAAUUGAUGACAGUUCCAUAUUUCUAACAUUCGUAGACUCUGGAAGUUCUGCAUGUGAUUGGAUAGAGACCUCAAUCCUUCACCGUCUGUGAUUUUUAAAGAAACAAAACAAUAGAAGGGAUGGGCAAGUCCUUACCAGGAAAGGAUUCUAAUUGACGAUAAAUCUGUAAGAUGAGAAAGCCCAUAAUAUAGCGUGUGUCGUCCAGUUGUAAAUGUCAAGAGUCUUAAGGGAAUCAGGAAACUUUCCAUUUGAAGAAGAAUUGAGGGAUCCACAUCGAAAGACAUGCAAUUCCUCGAGAUGAGACAUCUCACUACUGUAAUUACUCUGACACAUAAUUCCUAUGGGUGUAAUCGAACCGAGUCGAGCCGAAUUUUGUAAAACUCAAGCUCGUUUAUUAAAAAAAUUUGGAAGCUCGAACUCUAAUAUUUGAUUCGAGUUCGGCUCGAAAAUUAAAUAUUAUAAUCGAGCUCGAUUCGAACUCGACUCGUGAAAGGUUCGUUCAGUUUAAUAACGAGCCUAAUUCGAGUUCGAGCUCAAAAAACUCGAUUAAGAAGCUCGUUAAUUAAACUUGAGCUUGAACUCGAAAAGCUCGAUUAAGAAACUCGUUAAAAAAGCUCGAAUAAUAUUAAUAAUUAUAAAUUUUUAGUAAUAAUUAUAUAAAUAUAUUAAUAAUAAUUAAUUAAAUAUUUAUAGUAGUAUCUAGUUUAAAAAGAUUUUUAUAAUUAUACUUUAAUUUUAAAAAGUAUCUAGUUUUACAAUUUAAUUUAUCAGGUAAUACUGCUUGAAUAAUAAUAUUAAAAAGUACUUAUUAUUAUUUGAAAUUUCUAAAAAUAUAAUUUUUAAUUAUUUAUAGUAUUGAUGUAGGACUGAUUAUAUUUUUUCAAGUUAAAACUUUUAACCAAUAAUACUUGGUUAAAAUGAAAUUUGAAAACGAAAUGUCAGAAAUCGAAAAUUAUUGUCGAUAAUUAUUAUUUUUAACCAAUAAUACUUUGAUACUUUAAUCAAUAAUGUUUAAUUAAAAUUUUUAACUAAAAAAUACUUGAUAAUAUAUAUUGUUUACUUAAUUAAUUAUUAUUAAUAUACUUUGAUAAUUAUUACCAUCUUUUAUAUUGUAUGCUUAAUUAUAUACAAAAAAAUUUUAUAAUUAUACUUUAAUUUUAAAAUUAUAUAAUUUUUACAACUCAAUUUAUCAUGUAGUACUAUAAUUUUAAAGAAUACUUAUUAUAAUAAUUAAUAUUAAUUAUUUGUGAUUAUACAUUAAUUUUAUUGAAUCUUAUUAUAAUAAUUAUAUACAAAAGAUUUUUAUAAUUUAAUUUUAAAGAAUACUAAUUAUAAUAAUUAAUCUUAAUUAUUUGUAAUUUUCAAUACUAUAAUUUUCAAGUAUUUAUAAUAGUUUAAAUUUUAUAACUUUAUAGUUAUUUUUAUUUUUUUAAUAAUAUAUGAACUUGUUCAUAAAUUUAUUUAACGAAUUAGUUCACCAAUUUAUUUAAACAAUAUUACUCACGAGCCUUCUCAACGAGCCAGCUCGCGAGCCUUCUCAACAAGUCAGCUCGCGAGCCUUCUCAACGAGCCAGCUCGCGAGUCUUAACGAACCGAAUACUAUUGAGCUCAAGCUCGGCUCGUUUAAGUGACGAGCCUCAAAAUUGAGCUCGAGCUUAACUCGUUUAAAAAACGAGCCGAACUCGAUCGAGCUUUUAUCGAGUCGAGUCUCGAGUAGCUCACGAAUAGCUUGGUUCAUUUACAGUCCUAACAAUUCCCUCCGGCAGAGACUCCAAAGAUCCACAAUUUUCCAUUCGUGCGGCAAACCCCCUGCGGGAAAGGAGACUAAACUCCUACAUUGGCUUAUUUUCAAAUCUUUGAGAGAUUUGAGGUCUUUCAGUCCACUUGGCAACUCCUUCAGAUUUGGAC